UGAGGAGAGGCUCCUCUGAUGGUCCAUGUUGGAACAUUAUGAGAAGUAAUACUGAUUCAUCCAAACUCAUGGAAUUUGCUAAUCUCUUGCUUCUUUUAGUUUCAUCCAUGGUUGUGAUUCUAGAGAUGGUUUUCUCUGAAAGUUGAAAUCUAAUGAGUUCUAGUCUACAGAUCUCUUAAACAUGGUAGCAUAAGGUGCUUAUUUUUUCCUUUAGUAAACUCCUGCUCUUUCCCAUAUUUUGAGCUUGAUAUGGUUUGUCCUCAGAGUAGAUUCUGUAAGAAGGAAGUUGUUGUUGCUAGUGAAUUGCUUUAAAACUGUCUUUUGCUUCAUCAAUUUCAAGACCAUUGACCAUUUUAUUAAGUGCCGUUUUGCUGUGUGUUGGAAUCACUUCUUGUCAGACUAAACAACUGAAACCUUCCAAACCAUGUUAAUGAGGCUUGUUUCUGACAUUCCUACAAAUUUUAGAUGUGGAUAAUCCUUUUCUGUCCCACAUGUUGUAAUAUUUUUGGUAACAAACACUACAAUAUUCAGUUAUGAUGGUCCUCCUUUUUGUCUCUGCUGUCUUCCAUAAAUUUCUCUUUUCCAAGAUUAUGGACAUAUUAUUGGGUUUCAAUCAAGUCUGAGUUCUUCAGUCGUCAUUCAUCUCAUAAUGAGUCUCUUUCCUGAUUGAAGCCUUGUAAUUGGCUAUAGCUUUUUUUCCCAUCUGUAGCAUUUAUUUAUUCACUUUAUUUUUUUAUAUCUCCAAGAAUAUAUAUAUAUAUAUAUAUAUGUCUUGUUUUUAUAGUUUAAUGAAGUGUAUAUUCUUUUCACUGAAGAAAAGGAAUGAAAAAUGAUGCUGAAAAUAAGAAUUAAGUCUAGUUUUCUGAUGCAAUUGUCUUAAUAGAGGAAUUGACUUCUACUUUUGUCAGUUUUGAGUUCUGGCUACUUUAUGUCAUUAGCUACUUUCUAGGAAUUCAUGUCAUUAUGUUUGUUUUUGGAGGGGAAGUGUUUUUUCCUUUGUUUUAUGCCUUAUUACUCUAGUUACUGGGAAGUCUUAAUGUAACAAGUUAAAAUUGAACAACUUGAGCCCAUAUCUAUCUUCUCCUGCAUCAUUUAUAUUCUAUUCUUUAUUUCAUUUUUAGAAAACCAUUAUGUUAUAGUGUAUAGCACCAUAGAUCUUGAACUCCCAAGUUCAUUUCAAAUUAACAUGUCUUUUUAACUAUGUGUUGCACUUGUGAUCUUACUACCCUUAAUCUUAAGGGUUAGAGUAUUAUGCUUAAAUUAUUUGCUGAAAUUUAGUGUUAUUGGAAAUUGAAUACUCAUAUUUUCAUCCAUUAUAUCUUUGAAUUUCUAUCUGUCAUCCAACAAUUUGGCAAUUUUAGCCAUUAUAUUUUUCUGAUAUAUGCAAUUGCUUAUGUCCAAGUGGCCUCUUGUCAGCUUGUCAGCAAAGAUAUUCUGCAAGAGCUGGAGGAGAUGGACAAAGAAUGUGAUAUUGAUGAUAUUUUGAGCUACAGGUCUUUGGCUGAGCAACAAUUGCAGGUGUUGUUUCUGACUACAUUUGUGUUCACUAACGGUGGAAGAACAUCUUAUUUACUGUUAUAUUCUCCAUCAUUUUUAUCUGACGUCAGUUCUUGAUUUCUGUUUACAGUAGGAUUAACAGAUUACCAAAAAAUGAUUUUCUAUAGGUGCCUUGUUGUUGUCUGUCAAUGAUGACUCUAAUUUGUUUCUUUAAGAUAAAUGUAUAACUCUGAUUUCUUGCCUUAGGAAAAGAAUAGAAAUAUAUUUUGACCUGAACCUCCCUUUUAUUUGCCAUUUGGCGAACAGUAUCUACUGCUAUUGCUGAACUUAUGGUUUAUCAUUGUUAAAUAGCACCAUAUAUUUUUAAUGUAUAGUGAUCGACAUUCCUAAUCUUGUCUAUUGAGAACAGAAAGAAACUCUAACAUCAAAUUUGCCACUCUGCCAUCAUCUGAUGUGUUUACACUGUAGGCAUAAUUAAACAUCUUGCUCAGUUACCUGAUUUAUCUGAUAUAGGUUCAUAUUGGCCAGUAUAAUUUAUAUCACUCAUGAUUUUGUUUCUUGACUUUGUUCUUCAGGCUGUAAUAUUGAUGAUAAUAUUUUAUGUUCACAUUCAUAAUGCAGAAUUGCUGUUCAUUUCUGUUUCAUCUAUUCCCUGUUUUCCUUAGAUAUCCUGGGUUAACUUUUUUUCCUCUUAUCUAUUAACACUUGUCAUCUUUACUUCUGCCAUAGCAGCAACUAUGUACAUUGAUCUAUUCAAAUUUCAUUCCUCUCCCCUUUUAGUAAGUGCUGGAUGAUCCAGUGCAUCUGUUGAUAUCAGAACAGCCUGAUCAUUUGUGUUUUCUCCAAUUUCAAGAUGGUUAACAAUAAGAAGAUAAAUAAAAAAAUUUCUCUGACAUGAAGAAAUUGUGGGAAGAUCUAAGAUAUUGUUGCAGGCUUGAAGACUAGAUCAUUGAUUUGAUGGUUUUAAGGCUUCAGAUAAACUAAAUUAUUGUUAACAAUAAUGGAAGCAGUGGUGGGACUUGUCAGGGAGGAAAAAGGGAAAACAAAAAAGAAUGACAAAGAGGGACCAGAUUAAAAAAAAAGAAAAAAGAAAAAAGAAAAAAAGAAAAACACUUACCUGGGUUGUGGGUGGUGCAAACGAUGCUGUAUUUUCAAUGAAGGUGAAUCCAAUAUUAUAGGGUUAGAUUAUGAUGUAAAGGACCUCAUAAGUUCUGCAUUAUUGUUUUGCGUUCGCUUGGAAGUUCUAUUUUUUAUUUGUGGAUGAAGUGGAAAGAAUGAAUACAAGCGGUGUUUGUAUUUAUAGAAGGAUAAGGAAAUAUUAGUCUUGACAAUUAAUCCAUUGUGAGAUAUUUUGCUGCCAAAAUAAUUGUGUCACAAAAGUCAUCAUCUAUGAUGACUGAAGGUUCUGUAAUUUAAAUCUAUUGACUUACCAUGAUAACUUCCCCUGAAUCACAAAUUCAGGGCAGUCAUCUUCGUUGACUUGGAAGUUCCAAAUACUUUUAACUGUUGAAUCACAAAUUAUUUUGAUAUUGAAGAUGUCUUGUAUUUUUAUGAAGAAAUGGUGACAAUAAUCUUUUCACCACAAAAAUUUCAUCACAUUGCUCAUGGCGUUAAGUUCUGAAUUGAUUUUCUAUUUAUGUUCUAUCAUAAUAAUUAUAUUUGUAGAUUUCUUUGAUAACUGUCUAGGGCUAAUUUUUUAAUAUAAGAUUCUGUUUCAGGAGUUGUUGAUAAAUUCAGAGGUUCCCGUUAGUGUUAAGUCUGCUCAAGAAGAGAACCAAAAUGGAGAGCAGACUUCAACCAGAGCACCUAGUUGGUUAAAUUGGUUAUCUCUUGGCAUGCUUGGAGCUGGUGGAACGUCAGACACUGGUUCAUUUGCGGGCGUUGUUUCUGAUGACAUUAUUAAGGUUGUAUUGAUUUUGUCACCAGUGUGAUCCCUUUCUUUCAGUUUUCAUCUAUUUCUUUUGUGCAGGAUAUCUAUGAAGCAACUGAGUUUCACCCAACAUCUUCUUUGUCUGGCGAUUCUUCAAUUAGGAGCGGAUCUUGCUCAUCUUCAGUUAGAUUCAAUAUUAGUCAAAUUAUCACCUCAAUCAGAACCAAGUAAUAGGUCCUUCUAUCUUAUUUUGCAUGUUCUAUCAAUUUUCUAGCACAUUUUCUAAUUUGUGAUAAGCAAAGUGAGUCUUUUAACAUUUGAUUUCAUAUAGAAAAUUGGAAUAUGAUGUACAGUCAAGGUUUGCGAUUUUGAAUCGUACCACCUGUACCGGGUGGUAUGUGCCGGUCCGCCCGUGAACCGGUACGUGGACUGCUUGCUAUUGGGUGGUCCGCUCUUUAUAGCCUCGUAUCGGACGAUACGAGGUUGUUUCAGUCAGUAAUAAUCAAAAUUUCGAUAGUUUCCGCCUGCUACUGGGCGGUACCAGCUUGGCUACGACGAGACUAAGGGAGAAGCGUCGAAGAAGGAGAGGGCGUUCGAAGAAGAGGUAGAAUCGGGAGAACCUCGGUGAGAACUUGUUUCUAUGCCCUUCUUCGAUCCCUAUCCGGUGUCGCCCUCCUUCGACGAUCCCGAUCCAGGAGGUAACGGCGAGGAAAGUCGUAAAGAGGAGGAUCUGGAGGUGCGGGGAUUAGGGAGGCUGCGGCUAGAGCAGCGAAAGAGGCUGUCUCCUUCAUCGCCUCGUCUGCGACUCUGUGGCCUUCUUCUUCGCCGCGUUCUUCGCUGAAGGCUAGAGAUGUUUGUGGCCUUCGACGUCUUCAUCGUCUUCUUUGCCAAAUGUAGCAGACGAGGCGUUGAGGAGAAGAGGAGGAGGCGAUGUCGCUGAGGCUGCGUACUCCUUUUUUAAAAUAUUUAUUAUAUAUUGAUUUUUAUAAUUUUUUAUAUAAAAUAUAUAUUUUAUAUUUUUAUAUAUUAAUUAUAUAUAUAUUUUUAGGCAUACUGUUCGGUAUGUCUUGGUGUACCGCUCGAUACACCAUACCGUACUGUAUCGUGCAAAGCUCGAUAUAUUGGUACGGUACGAAAUUUUAAACCUUGUGUUACACUAUCUUUUACUUCCACAUGUGACAUGGUGCUUGUUGGGUGUGGUCUUGGUUCUAAAUAAGAAAACAUGUUCUUGUUGCCAGUACAGUAUUUGGCAAUAACAAUAGAAAGCAGUGACUGUUGUACCACCAGAAAAGGUACAGUAUGGGUGUGGACCGAUACACGGACCACCCCCAUUUCAAGUGGUCCGAUUAAAAUAGUAAAAAAUUCAAAAAUUGGUUCACAAUAGGGGUUCACAAGCCCUCUUCUCGUGUACAAUGCCACAGCUCUUGCUGUUGCCUCUCGCUGCUGUGAUGCUACAGUGGCACUGCCUCUUCGCAGCUGCGAUGUUGUCGCUGCUUUUGCUUCCCAGGUACGCUGCUGUUGUACUUCUUCUUUUCUUUCAUUUUCUUCCUUGUUCCUUUCUCCUUCCUCCUCUAUUCCUCCACCACCCCUUCCUCAUCACACUCUUUUUCUUCCUUGUCGAAAUACCGGUAUGCACCGGCAUACUAUGUGUUGGUACACUGGUACAUACCAUUCCAGCAGAUUGCCGAAACGGGUCUGGUACUUGAAAAGGCAAACCUUGAUAGAAAGAACUUAUGACAUCUCAUUUACCGAUACUUGAAGAGGACUUUAUGAAGUUAGCAUAAAUUUGGAAAUAAACAAUUUGAAGACAAUUAAUUGUAACAGUUGAGAAUGGGGAAGGACAUGGUUGCUUUAGCUUGGUCGGUUGAUGUGCUUGUUCUUUUUAUCAUCUUACCUCCAAUCAGACAUUUCAUUAAAAAAAGAGAGGCUUUUCAUAGGCAUCUUGUAUGAAUGAACUUAGCAGGUGAACUUAUUGAUGGCUGAUUUUGUACCCUUAGAUACAUGCUCUUGGCCAUCCUCUAGGGCACUGAUUAGGCCAUAGGAAACAUGAUUAGAGAAGGAUUUAUGAUCUAGAUUGUUUCUAAUCAUGCUUGUGAACUUCAUAUGUUAAUUUUGAACUUUUCACAAUUCAUAGAUAACUUAUUUAGUUCAUGGAUGUGAAAGCUGGUAUAUGAUUUGGUCAAGAACUGGUGGAGCUGAAAAUUUUAAAAUGUUGCAUAAUGAUUCGGAGUAAAUAAAUAUUCAUCAAGCUUUAUUUAAGACAUUGUAUUUUAUAUAUUGUACAUGCUUUUAACACCCUUGAGAUUAAGAAGUAUAAAUAUGCAAGCAGAAUUCUCACUUGUGAAAUAAAUUAUCUCAAAAUAUAUUUCCAUAUUGUUGUUAUGUUCGUGAUCGUAACAAGAAGCCAUCAAUCCCAACUCUUUGGGUUUGGCAAUAUGGAUGGAUCUGUUUCUGCCAUUAAGCGCUGUUGCAGGCAAUAUCAAUGGUCAAACUAGGAUCAACUAAUCACUCUUUGACAAUAUGAGACAAUGCCUUAAAUCAUACUCGAUGUUUCCUCCCAUUUAUACCGACUUACCUGGCUUACCAGCAGUGUUGAAUGGAUGUGAAAACUAUUAUUUGAUGUGGUCGCUUAUGCAAGGAUAUCCGUGGAACUGUUUCAGUGUAGAAACAUGAUGGAGAUAUGGGGGAUAGGAGAAGAAUAAUUUCCAAAUGAAUGUUUUGAAGAGUCUGUACAACACUACAUGUAUAUUGUACAUCACCUUUCAACUCGUUGUUCACCUGAAAUAGGCUCAUUUUCCUCGUUUUAUCUUUUGACGAAAAUGCUCCUAUAUGUUUUGGCGUGUAAAAUGUACACUAUUUGAUUGUUUAAAAAUUUAUCACAACAUUCACAUAUUUAAUCGAGGAACUGUAUUCGUCUAUCUCAAAUUUCUGAUCUCGAUGGUGUCAAACUUUUUGGGUAUUUAAUUCCUAACUGCUCAACACUCUCAUGGAGACAGGCCUUGUAUUUAUCUUAUGCAACCUUUUCUUUUAUGGAGCAUAUAAUGUUCAUAUAGUGUUUUAGAUGCCUCUCAUUAUUUGAUCUUUCUACUGCUAUAUGAUCUUGCUCCUUUCCUAUCAAGUAAUCAAUGCAAGAGAGCUGACUAGAUAACUUUUUCGUACAUUUAUAAUUUAUUUUAACUGUAUAUUCUAUGCUUCCCUAUGAGUUCAUGUAGUAACUUGUAGUCCUAUUAUCCUCAACUGCUUGAUUUCUAGAGUUUAUCUCUGUAGAGCAAAGUUUAAAGUUUGUACCUAUUUAAAUCUCAUUAGUGAAAAAAAAUGUCGUGUUGCCUAAAAUAACAAGAUGGGCCUAUUAGCAGACAACUUAUUUAAUGAUUAUUUGUGUUGAGUAUACAACCUUGUGGGUUUGUCCAUGAUGACUGCACAAAGGUAAGGAUUUAUCCUUAUGCAAUCUUUUUAUUGUUGAGAGUUCCAUAAUCUGAAUGGGUGAUGACACAUUAAUGUAACUGCUAAAAGCUCCUUUCUCAAAGUUGCUACAUUAUAUCUUUAGGUACUGGUUCUGGCACAGCCCUUAAUCCCACCGUACUUUGUCAACAUGAAACAACAUUGGUGCUAAUAUGGGCUGAUACUAACAUGGUGGGGGUUAAUGAAAAAUGACUAGGAAUUAUUUAGAUUCUUGUCAAUUAUGGUAGGACAUCUUGGAAAAGAAGAAUCAAAGCGACAUCGUAAGUGGAGGUGAGGAGGAGGAGGUGAGAAUCCUUGUUAUUGCUUCUGCCCAUGCUGAUGUUCCAUUGCUAUUGGUACAUAAGACCAAUCUAGUGUUUAUACUUAUUUCUAAGAGAGAUGAGGCAAGCAAUAAUUGGGACAUUUUCACUUGUUUCUGUUGUUAUAGAUUGGCCAAACAUCAUGGGACCCUUGGGAUCUAACCAGAGUCGUGGAAUUUGGAAUUUUGGAUAUCAAGGGAUCCUGUUCAAACUAUAUUCUAAAAGGAAUUUAAGAUGAAGACAUGAGAAUGGAAGAAGAGCGGAGAAGAAGGAAGAAUGGGAGUGAAAGAGAAAAAGUAGAUAAUAUAAAUUAAAAGUACAAUACUUUGAAAAUAACUGGACUUAUUUUGACAUGAUCUCAAAUUACUUAAAUAUGUUUGUAUCAAGAAUUUAAAUAUCAGUCCAAUUUCGGUAACACCUAUACAUUUGAUUUCAGUAACCUAUCCUAUAUCGGUACUUGAUUGAACCUGAAAAUACUAGUCGGAGAUACUUGUCGAUCAAUAUUUUAAACUUCAGUUAAAAUGUAUAAAAGAUCUAUAAUAUAUUAUUUAUUGUGUCUGAAUUUUUUUAAUAUAUAUCCUUAAAAUAAUCUUAUCCCAUAUUGAAUUAUUAAUUUAACUAAAGGCAUUGCCUUAGCCAUAUACAGAGCUCAACUAAAGGUAUAGAUUUAGCUUUUUAUAGAGCUCAACUAGCAAAAGAUCCAUAUAGCUGAUCCCAUUAUGGCUUGUUGUAGUAUCCUAUACAAGAGAUCCUUUGUCAUGUUUGAUAUUCCAUUUUGACGGUAGAGCAACAUAGUCAUCAGGAAGUAGGAACUCUUUCAUAAAUUUUAAUUAAAAAAACCAUGUGUUAAUUUUUUUAAUCCAUUUAUUUUUGUUAAUUGUCUAUAAUGAUUCUUUGGUUGAUUUUUUUGUAUAAAAUCAAAUUGAUUUUUUUAACAUAUACCAAUCUUGUGUCUUUAUCUGCACAACUCAUAUAGUUUCGAUGUUUUGGCUUGUCAAUUUGAUUCUGUUUUAAGUAAUUGUGGACACAUUCUUUAUUCUUAUUGAUUGAGGAAAAAAAUCUUCCUCAUCAAUUGUCAUGUAGGGUGGUAAGUCUGAUUUGAAAUUAUUAUUAAUUUUUCAUGUAGGGUUUCAGUGUUCUAGUUAAUACCAGUGAUUUAAAAAGCGCUAGGCGCCAAGGUCCAAAAACGCCCGAGGCGCUAGGCUCUCGCCUGAGCAUAGCGGGAGCGGGAGUGUAAGAAGGCAGCGACAGCGGGAGCGGGAGUGUAAGGAGGCAGCAGCAGCGGGAGUGUAAGGAGGCAGCGGUAACGAGAGCGACGAGUAGCGACAGCGACAGUAGGAGCGGGAGCGGGGAGCGGCGACAGUGGCAGCGGCGAGUAGCGGGCGUGGGAGCGGCAACGACAACGAGCAGGGUUAGCCGAUUAGGGUUGGACAGCGGCAUCUGAUAUCGAUUUUAGUUGGUUCGAUUGAACGAACUAACCACCGGAGACCGAACCAGACCUAAAAUCCUGGUUCGGUCGCCUGGUUUAACCCAAGCGCUCGCCCGAAGCGCCCAACGCCUAGGCUUGGGCGAGCGCCUAGGCGGCGCCUCUUUGAAGCGCGCCGCCUGGAAGUUUAGCGAGGCGCUCGGGCCUCGCCUCGCCCGAGCGCCUAGGCGAGCGACCGAGCGCCUUUUUAAAUCACUGGUUAAUACCGUCUCUCUUUUGAUAAAAAAGGGGUUUCAUCUUGUGCUACCUGCUUGCCCGUCUGUCCAAUGCUUCUUCUCCUCUCCCUCCUCUUCUUUACUCCUCCUCUGCCUCCUCUUCCAUGUCCUCCUGGUCUGCUCUUUUUCUCCUCCUCUCCUCUUCUUUCUCUUCUUUUCCUCCUCGGCUGGUGUAUCAUAUGUUGGUACACCGGUAUAUACCAGAUUAAUACUAGUCCAGCCAAGGACCGGUACAGGUCCAGUAGUCGAAGUUUUGAACCACGGUUGUGAUGGUAGAAACUAGAAAGUAAAUUUGCCUUAGCUGCUUUCUUUUUUAGAGAAGGAAAAUUUUGAUGGGUCAAUGACUAAAGUUCAUGAUCACUUUUUAGUCUUGUCAGGGUUUUAUUUGUUCUAGUGAAUGAAGUUUUAAAGAUUGAAGCAUAUAUGGUUUUCUUCAUUAUAUUAUGGAGAACUUAAUUGUUUGAAUUUGAAUCAUUUGUCAAAUCUAUAUGUGGUUGAUAAUAGUUGAUUUUUUUCGUUGUUCUAUGAUAGUAUGAUAUGUAUUACUCAGUGUUAUUUUUACAUUGAUCUUUGUUCACUUUGUUUUAGAGCAUCUGACAGGAGGAUUGGUAAAGCAAUAUGCAGUGAAUUUGUCUUUGAAUGUGAAUUCUGGGAUGAUUCUGCAGCCAUUCUUGCCUCGAUAGGUUCUAUUAAGAUUGUCAACCCAAGCAAUGAGAACGUUAUUUUGAUGGAUAAGAAGGUCAAAUUUCCAUUUUUUUCUGUUUAGUUCUGGUUGCUAAUGCUAAAAGUUGUGACAUUUUAUGCCCUAGCAUGUUUUAUGCUUUGUUUUUCACAGGUAAUCAAUGAGGAAAAUCUGACCACGUCUCUGUUGCCAUGUCUUAGUUUACAUGUAAAUAUGCCUCAUUUGGACCAAAAGUAUGAUGUUUCAAUCAAGGUAUUUUAUUUUUUUUCUGAAGAAGAAAAGGACAAAUAUGCUUUCAUGUUAUUCCCAUUUGGGUUCCAGAGCUGCAGACUUGUAUUUUGGACAUGGCGUAUAAUCUUAACUUGAUUUGUAAUUUAGCUUUUUUAUGUGAUUAGAUUGUGCUCCAGCCAUUUGAAGCUGGUUUUGAAAAGGAAUUCUUUUUCUAUAUUCAGCAUUUUUACCGUGCUGUCACUUCCUUCCAGUUCCAGCAAGAUAGGGUAAGAAUAACUUGAAUAUUCAUCAAUUAUUUGAGUCAUCUUUUGGGUUGAUUUUUAGUUCUGCUAAUUUAUAUUUAUGCUUUUUAAAAACUUGAUAAUUUUGUUUUCUUUGAACUGAAAUGAUUUAUCUGUCUCCAGCAGUUAGGCAUUUGUAUGUUGCAUUUUCUUAGUGGUGUUAAAGUGAAGCUUGCAACUUUCACCUCUGGGCAUUGCUUUUCUUAUCAGUGUUAUUGUGGCCGUUAUUCAUUUUUUGUAUUGUAUAGACAAAGGCUUUUCAUUAAGUCACACUGUCUGAUUUAUCAUGAAUCAGCAUACAUGCAUUGUAGGUCAACCUGAUAUUUUGAGGUUCUAAUAUUUGACAGGUUCUAUGUUGCAGUUUUGCACAUCCUUCCUUCUCCAUCUUUGUUGCGUUUAAGCACUUAUCAAACAGAGUCCAAUAUUUUUAAGAACUUUUGAACAAGAUGCUUAAAUCUUUGUAUGGAAGUACUUGAGCCAGUUAACAGUCUCCUUUACUACAUGAUGUUACAUCUUAUGGAAUAUUCUGGAUACCAACUCUGCUGGUUUUAGUCUCCAAGCCUAAAGAAAUUUUGUUGAUAGCUUUUGCAGCAAGAAAUUAAGUAAUCAAGAUCAAGUUUCUUCACCAGAAUCCAUUUGAUAGAUGCUGGGAACAUGCAGAAUAAAAAAUAGAGCAACCCAUUGGUCAAAACAUCCUUCUCAUGGAUUUAGGUGAAAAACAUUUUUUUUAAUGAUGGUGAUGUGACAGAAUUUAUUGAAAUAACCAAUUAAUGUUUUCUAGGAUGGUUUGAAGUUGUUGUUCAAAUCUUAGGUGCUAGAGUGAGUUCAAAUCUCCUUUCUGCAUUUUCUUUGUCUCAUCUUUCAUCAUAUUGGUUGAUUGUUGCCAAAAUCCUCCUCACACCCUGGCCUACAUCAUAUUACUUUCAUUAACAUUUAUUUUGGCUUUAGAGGAACAUUGGAACUCGGAAGCAUCUCGCUGUAAUCUGUGUGAGAUAGAUCAAGAAUCAAUUUAACCAACAACAAUAAUCACCAUAAAAACAUGCUAUUAUUACUCAAAAUAUCUAAACUUUUGCUUCUGAAAACCUGUAUAUUUUGUUUUAGCCUGGUAUUGUUCGAUACCAGGAGUGUCCUACGAGGAUAACAUUGCCCAGUAAGAUGUUUACUGAUUGAUGCUAUUUUUAUAAUAUUUUAUUCCUUUUUGAACAUGGGCUUGGGGAGGCUUGUUCUGUGCCACCAGCUUUGCCUUCGUUGUGGCCUUCUCUUUGCCAUGCUGAGGCCUUUGUAUCCACCACCUUGUGUCCUUGCCAUUUUUGACUCCUAACUUUGUGGUUGCUGCUGUCUCCUUCAUGCAUCAUUGCCACCUCUUUCACACAUGGUGCUGUGUUGUCACAAACUUAGCUGGAAUUGCCUAAGUCGUGAAGCACCUUUGCAGCAAAGACGCGAACUUAGCUUGCGUUGCCUAAGUCGCGCUUCGCCCUUGCGAUUUGCGUUCGCAAAAAUCAGCCCACUUGAACCUCUCGUAGGUCUCGAAGGACCUGUAAAAGAGAAAGUUGAUUAGUUCGAAGAACGAGCGACGGACAAGUCCCGACGUCUCGUGAAAAGGGGAAGCUUUACAAGCAAUUCAGCGAGCACCUUGCGUGCAUAAGAGAAAAGAGGGAGAGGAGGAAAACAAGGACUUUAGAGGGUUGAACGAACAACUACAAGUCCACAAACAGUUGCUCACCGAGUGCCGGGCGCGACAACAAGUUCCCGUCAAGGUAACGUGCAAACUUGCGAAAGGUUGUUCAACGCCCGACACUAUACCGAAGCCCCAUCCCCCAUGGUGCCACCCGGGUGGUUCCAGGGUGCUGAGAUGGCUGACGUUUCGCGUGCAGCAGCGGGCUGUAGAAAACAGCUAGUGGCACGCGAAAACAGAGCUGUUUUGGGUUGUUUUGGGGCUAUUUUGCUCGGUUCGGUGAGCGGUCGCAUUGUAGCGCUGCAACUUGUUCAAACUUAUAUUUUUAUAAGCAAAAGGACUUGAAACCAAGUCAAAACAUGCUGCCAAGCAGUUAUACAUGUAGAUGAGAGCGAUGAAUGGUUCGUUGAACGGAGUUGUUGUGGGUGCGCGACGACCGUUCGUGACAUUCUCCCCCACUUAAACUGUCGACGCCCUCGUCGACGCUUGUUGGUAGUUGUUGAUAAUUGUUUCUUCAUGUCGUAGGGCAUCUUCGGGCUCCCAACUGGCUUCAGUUCGGGGAAGCUUUCGUCACUUCACCAAGUACUCGGUCUGCUCAGCUUCAUUGGGUAGCUUUAUCUUGCGAUCCGCUAAAAUAGUUUCAACUCGCUUCUCGUAGGAGACUCUGGUAGAGUGUAGCCGAGUUGGAAUACUUCGGGAAGCAUCUUGCGGAUCCGAGUGAUAGGCUUUUAGGUUACUGGCGUGAAGAACAUUGUGAAUUUUGAACCACGCUGGCAGCUGCAACUUGUAGGAGACGUUGCCCACCCUACUGAUAAUUGGGAAGGGCCCUUCAUACUUGCGCAUCAAUCCUUUGUGUACUUUGUUCCUAAAGAAUUGGAGUGAUGCUAGUUGGAGCUUUACCAACACCAAAUCGCCGACCUUGAACUCUUGCGGUCGCCUUCCCAAGUCUGCCCACCUCUUCAUCCUUUUUGCCGCCUUCUCUAAGUAAGCCCGCGCAAUAUCUGCAUUUCGGUGCCACUCCUUUGCGAAGUGGUAGGCUGACGGACUACUCCCAGUAUACCCGAUUGCCAUGGUGUGAGGAGUUGAUGGUUGUUGUCCUGUAAUGAUCUCGAUGGGGCUCUUGUUGGAUGCAGAGCUCCGCUGCAAGUUGUAGGAGAAUUGGGCAAUGUCCAACAACUUCACCCAAUCUCGUUGGUUGGCACUCACGUAGUGCCGAAGAUAUUGCUCUAGGAGCAAGUUUAUCCUUUCGGUUUGGCCAUCCGUUUGGGGAUGGAGCGAUGUGGAGAAGUAUAACUUGGACCCUAACAAUUUGAAUAGCUCGGUCCAGAAUCGUUCCAGGAACCGAGCAUCUCGAUCAUUGAUGAUAUUGUGUGGGACUCCCCAAUACUUUACCACAUCCUUCAUCAUCAGCUUGGCCGCCUCCUCUACUGAACAUUGUAGGGGAGCAGCAAUGAAAGUUGCAUACUUUGAAAAUCGAUCGACCACCACGAGUAUCGAUCCGAGUCUCCCUACUAUGGGCAAGCUUGAUAUAAAGUUCAAGGAAAUGCUCUCCCACGGCUUUUCUGGUACGGGCAACGGCUCCAAAAGUCCCACCGGCUUCCGUUGUUCCACCUUGUCUUGUUGGCAAGUGAGGCACGUUCGAACAUAUUCCUCCACAUCAGUCCUCAUCUUCGGCCAAUAAAAGACCCUCUCCACGAGAGCCAAGGUUCUGUGAAUGCCUGGGUGUCCAAUCCAAAGGGAAUCGUGACUCUCUUAAGAGUUCAUGUCUCAGAUUGUCCACUCGAGGAACAUAAACCCUAUUCCCUUUGGUGUAAACGAGUCUCUCCUGGACCCAAAACCGUCGUGCCUUGCCUUCUUUAAUGAGUUGUAUCAGGGCUUCUGCCUGGGGAUCACUGUACAGUCCAUCCCUGAUCCUGGAAAGGAAGUUGGAGUGCAACUGACUUGCUUGGCCUCUGCCCUCCAAUUGUACGGCAUUCACACGCUCCACUUUCCGACUCAAUGCAUCGGCCACGACAUUCGUCUUUCCAGGCUUGUACUCUAUUGUCAUAUCAAACUCAGCUAGGAAGUCCUGCCAUCGUGCUUGCUUUGGGGAGAGUUUCUUCUGAGUUUGGAAAUAGCUCAAAGCGAUGUUGUCUGUCCUUAGUACAAAUCGCGAUCCAAGAAGGUAGUGUCGCUAAACUCGUAGACAGUGGAUCACCGGUGUUAUCUCCUUCUUGUGCACUGGAUACCGCCGCUCGGUCUCAUUGAGUUUGCGGCUCUCGUAGGCCACCGGAUGACCCUCCUGCAUGAGUACUUCCCCAAUAGCGAAGUCUGAAGCAUCUGUAUUGACUUCGAAGGGCUCCCCAUGGUCAGGCAAUUUGAGCACCGGUUCUUCCAAUACAGCAGCCUUUAGAUCUUGGAAUGCAAUCUCACAUUUAUCAGACCACCUCCAAGGCUGCUCCUUCUUCAGCAACUCCGUUAGUGGAGUUGCACGCUUCGAAUACCCCGCUAUGAAGAGUCGACAGUAGUUGACGAAGCCAAGGAAGGAUCUUAACUCUGGCACCUUCUUUGGAGUUCGCCAUUCCGCAACCGCUUGCACCUUCGAUUUGUCCAUUCGAAUGGAGCUAUCAUCGAUUCGAUGCCCCAAGAAUAAGAUCUCCGUUUGAGCAAAGUAGCAUUUCUCCCUUUUCAUGAACAAAGUGUUCUCCCUGAGAACCUUGAAAAGUGUCCGAUAGUGCUUGACAUGCUCCUCGAGCGUUUGACUGUAGACGACGAUAUCGUCCAAGUAGACGACCACUAACUUAUCCAAAUACUCCUUGAAUAGCUGGUUUAUGAGGGUGCAAAACGUGGCCGUAGCGUUGGUUAAGCCAAAAGGCAUCACCAAGAACUCAAACGCUCCAUACCUAGUCACACAGGUAGUCUUCGCUUCGUCCCCUUCAGCAAUGCGCACCUGCCAAUACCCCAAUCGAAAGUCGAGUUUUGAGAAAUACUUGGCUUUGCCCAACUGGUCGAAUAAGUCCGCGAUGAACGGGAUGGGAUACUUGUUCUUCACCGUCACUUUGUUGAGGGCUCGGUAAUCGACACAUAGUCGGAGGCUCCCAUCUUGUUUCUUCUGGAAGAGAACGGGAGCUCCGAAUGGUGCUUUAGAAUUACGGAUGAGACCACCGCUUAGCAGUUUGCCUAAUUGCUUUCUGAGCUCAGCCAACUCGGGAGGGGGCAUGCGGUAGGGUGGUCUCGCUGGAGGCUUCACUCCUGGCUCCAGCUCGAUGUGAUGAUCCACGCCUCUGCGUGGCGGCAGAGUCUUCGGUAACUCAGGUGGCAUAACAUCCGUGAACUCCUUCAGGAUGUUCGCCACCACAGCAGGUUCAUGAGUGGCCUUCUCGUCGAGUGGCUCUAGCUUCAUAGCAGCCACGAAUGUUAGUUCGCCUUUUCGUACCCCUUUCUUCAGUUGUAAUGCCGAUAUAUGUUGGGGUUCCCUGGUUCCUCUCCGAGAGACGGGCGGGAACCACACAGGGGUCGUCACCUCCCAUCACACAUAGGGAGUUAAGGAACGACAUUCGCACCAACUUCGCCACGUGCAUAAAUUCCAUUCCAAGAAUCACUUGGAAGUCAUCCAAUGGCACCACCAUAAUGUUUGUGCUCCCGCUCCAUGUUCCAAUCUUGAUGGGAACUCCCUUUGCCAUCCCGGAGAUUUGCCUGGCCUCCGAGUUCACCACCUUCAUUCGACUUGGGCUCUUUUCCAAGAUCAGCGUAAGUCACUUUGCUUCUCGAUCGGCAAUAAAAUUGUGGGUAGCGCCCGUGUCCACCAUUGCACGGGUCGUUUGGCCAUUGAGCUUAAUGUCUACGUACAUCAGCUCGCCACUUCCUGCUUUUUGUAGCCUUGUCUUCGUGUUCUCCCCCACUCGACCCCGCAUGGCGUUCAACAAACGCAUUGCUCCCAUCCGGGAUCCUUGCGACUCCUCAACGUCGCUGCUGGAUUCAGAACUACUCGAACUAAGAGCGACAGCCUUGCCCUUGUCCGAUCGGUAGGAACUAAGUUCUCAACUCCCGCUUCAGGUCCUCCCAUGUGUCAACUCGACACCGACUUUGUUGGAUCUCCUCUCAACGAGUUCGUCACCAAAGUUUUGCAUCUUCGUUCAGAUACAUUGUUGCUAUAGAAACUUUGGUUUCUUCAGAAUCAGGCCUCGUAGCUCGAAAGUAUUGUUCCAUGUCAAACAGGAAAUUCUCGAGCUCUUUGGCAUCUCUGGCCCCUCCAUAACCAUGAAGCUCGGGUGCCCUCAAGUUUUGUGGCGGCGCAACGCAGGUGUUGCUUCCUCCCGCAUUUAGUGCUUUUGUGAGCAUGGUCACCCUUGAAGUGAGUUCCGCCACAACUUCCUGCAGGUGUUGCACGGAGUCUUUGGUGUCAUAUGACAAUCGGUCGACUAGGGCCUCAACCUUGUCGAUCCUGGACUCCGCUUCUUCUUGCGAGCUUUCUACCCCAACAAGCCUUCGUUGGUCAUGGUAGAGUUCCUCCAAGCUCGCUUCAAGAACAUCCAAGCGGGUUUCCGUCGUUGUGAGUGUCUCCUUAUAACUCUUUUUCCAAGUUGGCGCUCCAGAUUACGCUUCCUUUGCUCGCGGAGAGCAACCAACUUCUCGCUCAUCAUGUUCGCUGCCGCGCUCCUCUUGAGCGGCUCCAACAGCAUGAGAGCGAGUGUGCACUUGCAGCCCACCUGCGACUGCUUGGGGCAAGGGUCCGACUUGCCCCGUCUUGCUUGAUUCGCCACGAUGCUUUGCCAUGGCGAAGUUGCGAAGUUCCUUCGCUGCUCGCUCGAAGUGCUUGCCCGCUUUGAUACCACAAUGUCACGGACUUUAGCUGGAAUUGCCUAAGUCGUGAGGCACGCUUGCGGCAAAGGCGCAAACUUAGCUUGCGUUGCCUAAGUCGCUAGGCACCUUUGCGGCAAAGACACGAACUUAGCUUGCGUUGCCUAAGUCGCACUUCGCCCUUGCGAUAUGCGUCCGCAAGGAUUAUUCCACUUGCAACCUCUCGCAGGUCCCGAAGGACUUGUAAAAGAGAAAGUUGAUUAGUUCGAAUAACGAGCGACGGACAAGUCCCGACGUCUCGCGAAAAGGGGAAGCUUUACAAGCAAUUCAGCGAGCACCUUGCGUGCACAAGAGAAAAGAGGGAGAGGAGGAAAACAAGGACUUUAGAGGGUUGAACGAACGGUUGAAAUACACAAACAGCUGCUCACCGGGUGCUGGGCGCGACAACAAGUUCCUGUCAAGGUAACGUACGAACUUGUGAAAGGUUGUUCAAUGCCCGACACUAUACCGAAGCCCCAUCCCCCAUGGUGCCACCCGGGUGGUUCCAGGGUGCUGAGAUGGCUGAUGUUUCGCGUGCAGUAGCGGGCUGCAGAAAACAGACCGUGGCACGUGAAAACGGAGCUGUUUUGGGACUGUUUUGCUCGGUUCGUUGAGCGGUCGCAUUGUAGCACUGCAACUUGUUCGAACUUACAUUUUUACAAGCAAAAGGACUUAAAACCAAGCUAAAACAUGCUGCCAAGCAGUUGUACAUGUAGAUGAGAGUGCCGAACGGUUCGUUGAACGGAGUUGUUGCGGGUGCGCGACGAUCGUUCGUGACAGUGUUCUCCUCUUCUUCUUCUCUUCCUUUCCUAUUUUUUCUCUCUCUUUGGUCAUUCAGUACUGACUGUUACCAAGUAUUGGUGCACAAGUCCUUUAGCCAUUAAUUUUAAACCUUAAUCUUAACUGUACCUUCGGCACAUCUCUUGGUGUUGCUAAACUUGUAUUUUAUAUAUAAUUAAAAAUUGAAACUGAGUAAAAAAUUAGUGAGUUACUUUCUAGGCAUUCAUGGGAACACACACAAUUCUCAAAUGUGACUCUAAACAACUUCCAUGCACAUUAGCUGAGUGGAGGAAUGUCAACAUUUAAAGAAAGUUAUGAUUCUAUUUGGAUAGUCAUUUAUUUUGAUUUUGUGGUGCAUUUCGAAAGAAUGAAACAAAUCUGCAAGAUGUGCUUAGAUCUGCUGCAAGGUGGCUUAUCCUGGAUAUGUAUUUCAAAUAGAAGACAAUUGCUACAUGUCUAAUAAGAUUGUCGAUCAAUUUGUCACCUGAAUUUGCAUUGGAUAAGGGCUUAGUACCACCCAGAAUCCAGAUAGGUUGACAAAAAAUGAUCAAGUGGUCUGCUUUAGGCAUAUAGUUUCCUAUAUUUUAUUAACAUCUGAACUUGAUAUACAUAUGCUCCACUUUUACAUGAUCAUGCGUUUACUGUUAGCUUAAAAGUAAGGUGGUGUUACGACUUAAGACCCAGAAUUUUUUUUAGUAAAUUUGGAGAGAGAUCAAAAUUAGACAACACUAGCUUAAAAGUAUGGUGGUGUUACGACUUAAGGCCCAAAUUUUUUUUUUAGUAAAUUUGGAGAGAGAUCAAAAUUAGACAACCGUUCUUGUGCCUAUUUUGGUUGCACAAAUUCAUAUUUGAGUCUUAUCCCGAGUGGUUGAUGCUAUCCUCUACAGCUGUAUGUUAAAAAAUAAUUCUUAUUCAAGUAUUUGUGGGCACAAUACUUUGGUUCUUGUGUAAGUCAUUUUAUUAACUGUUCUUUAAAUGCCUUUUGUCAUGUCUCCUUUUUCUCUUUCUCCCAGACACAUGCUUCUGCUUGUAAUUCUUCCGACAUCUAUCUGCACCACUUCUUGUUGGAAUUUUCUUGGCAUAAUUUUUCAUUGUUAUUCCAUCCAUAAUAGUGCAUUUAAAUUAUUCCAUCUAUGCAGUUGUGGUGAUCACAAAUGUGACUUGUUAGUGAUUCUGUGGCAGGUGCUGUCAUCACUAAAUGAGCUGAAAAGUUUUGAGGCUAGAUUGCUUGCAAAAUUUGAGUAAGUUUUCAAUUAUUUUUUGCCCAAAAGUUUUCAGGUACCAAGUAUGAAUUUAUGACAUUAUACAUGUAUAGCAAGGAAGUUACUUUUCCUGAUAUAAGUACAUUGUAUUCUUUGGUUCAAACUGUAGGUACUAUAUCUGUAACCAUAAGAAGCUGUACUGGGAUGUUACUAUUCACAAAGCUAUCCUGAAUUUACCAUUGCAAAAUGAGGAGCAAAAAGUUCUCAAUAUGGUAAAUGCAUUUGUGAUCUAGACAUUAUCGUGAUUGUAGAUUUACUAUUUAUGUUAGACUAGUUUAAAUGCAACUAUUAUGUUAUCGCAGCUUUUGGAUUGUUUCAAUAGUGAACUUUGAUUGAUCAAGUUCUAUGUAUUGUGACAUUCUUCUGCAACACUUUCUAUACAAAAGCUCAAAUUAUCACAUUCAAUUUCAGACAUUAAUUUUGGUUUUUGUCUUGAGGUUUCAAAAGCUGUGUGUAUGAUAUAAGUUCAUGUGCAAGAGUCAUAAGAAGUUCUGUAUAUGCAGAACGUUUGUCAUCUAAAUGCAUGAAAUCUUACCUUAUUAGAUUAAUGGUAUCAUGUGAAAGGAGCACAAAAAUUGUCAAAAAUUUAUAUUUGAGCAAUCGUUUUGUAUGCUGAUUUACUCAUGCAACAUCCUGAAAAGUGAUGAUUCGGUUUCCCUAAAAAUUGUAGAUGUAAUUCUUUUAUACAUGUUUCAGUUUUCAUAGAAUUUUAAAGCAUGAGAUUUAUAGAAAAAAACUACUUUCUUCUGUUCCAUUCUAUAUUUUACAUGUUAUUGCUUUUAUGUCUUUUGAGUUCUUAUAGUGGUAGUACAUGUUCUUUAUAGCUGGAUGCUGUGGAUUUGGGUUGUGUAGCUUCAGCAGUUCUGGUGCAGAUCAAAAUGGAAGCUGAAAUCAUUCUUAUUUCAUAUUUGUAGUCAAGCUUAUUCUGGAUGAUUUUCUCUGGUACUUUUGCAUUGAGGUGUUGUACAUCUUUCUUGGUGACCUUCUUUGUGAAUGCCUAUCUAUAUCUGUGGAAACUGGAAACUGGAAAGUAUAUCUUUUGUUGCCACAUCUUUUUUGUGACGGGAAUAUUGCAAGUGCGGAUGUUGGUAUUGUGACAUAUCUACCAGUAGGAGGAAGAAUAGGAAGUAUCAAUGGAUUUUGAGUGAGAUAAAUGGAAGUGAAGAAUAAUAUGAAAGAAAAGGAAGAGAAGACCAGUACCAGCCCCUUAACACCUUCCAUAUUGUUCUUUCCCAGUCAGUAUCAGUGGGUAACCAAUCUGAUAUCCAAACUUAAAUACAUGAAUAGAAAUAGGUAGAAGCCACUCUGUUAUGAUCUUUCUAAGAUUACACGAGGCUUUCUCCUAGAUACUUGAUCUAAACACACUUUAUGGGAUAAGGUUUAUUUAUGCAUUCUGGCAUUUUGUAAUUAUUUUUGCUUAUGGUUAAUCUUUUUGCUAGUGUUGAUCUUCUACAUUAUGCUCUCUAUUAGUGUUUUAAUAAUUAUACAAAAAAUAAUGUGGCAGGUAUUGGAAUUUGAUAAAAUUUUCCUUCAAUCCAAGACUCAGCAGGAGAGUUCUCCGAUAUUGAAUAGCAGACUCUGCUUGGAAAACAUAUGCCCAACUUAUCUCAUAAAUGGCACCCAACUAAAAUUUCAAAUUCAAGAUGUCUAUAAUUGCUUUGGGAUUGAAUUGACAGGUUUUAAGGUAUAUUAUAUUAACUUGUUUUCUGUUAUUAGCUUUUAUUAUAUUAGAUAAGCUUUUAUUAGCUUGUUUUCUUUUUCUUUUUGUAUUUUAGUGUAUACUAUAGUAAUUGUAUUCCACUUUAACUCUUGCAGGUGAACUUAUUUGAGCCAAACGUACCAAGAGUAGUCCCGGUGAUAGAUGAUUUUAAUGCAUCUUUUGACACUAGGCUGUGCAUCUUCUUUGAUGAGGCAGACUUAAAAAUUUUGGAGGUACUUCUCAAUUUUUGUGAUCUUGUAUGCUUUCUUGUGCAUGGUUAUGGUGCAUUAUGAAGCAUAUGCAUAUUUAUGAUAAUUAUGUUCUUGCUUCCUUCUGUUCUUUACAUAUUGCUUUCUUGUGAUUGUUUCUUUUUUGAAAGUUGAAAGAACAAGUUUCUUCUGUGAAGUUUAAACCAAGGAAGGCAAUACCGAAUGAUACCGUCCGGUACGGAUGGUACGUAUCGGUCCGAUGGUAUACCGGUACGUGGAUCACCCGCUACUGGACGGAACGAAAAAAAUAAUAAAAUAAUAUAUAUUUAUAUUUAUAUAUAAAUAUUUUAGAAAAAGGCGACGUUCGGCGACGUGACAUCGCCUUUUUCGGAUUAUAUAUAUAUAUAUAUAUAUAUAUAUAUAUAUAUAUAUAUAUAUAUAUAUAUAUAUAUAUAUAUAUAUAUAUAUANNNNNNNNNNNNNNNNNNNNCCGAGCGGUAUAUCGCUCGGUAUACAGUUUCGUACCGUAUCGAGCGAUCGUUGAAACUCCGGUAUGGUACGAAAUUGCAGACCUUGGUUUAGACAAUAACAAUAAUGACAACAAAGCGGUAAAGAAAGUUUAGACAAAGUCUGAAAUUCCAUAGCACACACUUGUGUCAGCUGGUGCCUAGAUAUAUUAUGUGCAGAUCAGCACAUCACCAAUAUGAAGAUAGUGCCAACACAAGUGAUGUUGGAGGAUGUAAAAGAAGAAGAAAACAGAGGACUGGGAAAGAAGCUAGAGGAAAGGAAAAGUAAAAAAAAAAAGGAGGGGAGAACUGGCCUUAUCUCCAGUAAACUUCUCUUUCUAUUACCUUCUUUGUUUUCCUUUCAUGUCCUGAAUUCGUACCCUGUCAAUGCAAGAUCUACAAAAUGAUUCAUUUCACAACAUUUGCCAUAUUCCAAUCACAAAAAACAAACAAAUUGGCUGAUGCUUCAAGACAUUAGCACUCAACUUGGACCAAACCAGUAUCACUAAUGUCUCUAUUACAGUUAUAAGCAGUGAUUUAAAUAGGCGCCCGAGCGCUCACCUAGGCGCUCAAGCGAGGUGAGCCUUGAACGACUCAUGGGUGGACUAGGCAGCGCGCUUCAAUGAGGCGCUGCCUUGGUGCUCGCUAGAACCUAGGCGCCGAGCGCCUCGGGCGAGCACUCGGGUCAGAUAAGGCAAUCGAACCAGACUUUUAAGUUGGUUCGAUUGAACCAACUAACCACUUUCUUACCCUCAAAAGCCACUCUUCAUGCUCGCGCGACCUCGAGCAAACCCUAGCACUGCUUUUGCCUUCGUCGCUGUUGCUUUCUAUCGUUGCCUCCACCGCAGACACAAUAGACUGAGCCUUUGUCGCCGACGAAUGGGUCCAACAGCUUUGCAUGAGCUCGUAGCUUCCUUCUGCUGUCACUCCGUGUGCAAUUCCUUCUACUGUCGAAGGAGAGGACUGUAGGUUCCUUCGCCAUCGAAGGACGCCCUCUGGAGCUUCUGCCACUACCGCUGUAGUUCGCAGCGCUGCUGCGACUGUCUUAAACUAAUCCUUCGCCGCUGUUGCUGCCAGCUUCUCAUGACUGCCUUCUCACCGCUGCUAUUGCCACUUUCCACUGUCGGUGACCCUUUAUCCCCCUCUGUUAUUGUUAAUAGUUCUUUUCUCCCCCUCUAACUACUAUUAACAGUAGAUUUUUAAUUUAAUAUCAUAUUUUUAUUCAAAUAAUCAUAUUUAUCAAUUAUGUUAUAUAUUUUUAUAUUUUUAUAUUUCAAAGCGCUUCACUUUGUUCGGGCUUUUGCCUAGUGCCUCGGCCGUUUUGGGGCCUUGACACCUUUUGGCGCUUAGCGCUUUUUAAAUCACUAGUUAUAAGUCAUCUCUUAUUGAUACUUAGAGCUGCUUUGGUAGGCAGCUUUUGGUUGAUAAAUAAAAAAAAAGAUUGCCAUGUUGGAACAUACCUUUUGAAACGAUCUAAGCAAAAUACCAUGGCACCUUCAUUUUUAUUUUAGGUAAUGGGCACAAUGUGGCACCUGGUUAUGUAGGCUUGUUGAAAAAGAAAUGGCCAAUAUGUAAAAUCAUUUGUAUCUGAUAAUACACUAUUAUAAAUAGGUAAAAUGACAUAAAUUCUCAAGUAUUCCAAUUAAUGGGCAUCAAUUAAUAACAUGUCAGUCAAUCAUAGUUCACAUAUAAGCUUGUCAACUUUUGUCUCCAAAAGUAUGUCUUUGGACUUUGGAGCAAUGUUAUCAGCCAUCUGUUUCUUACUACGGUAUCCAACAAUUGCAUUGUUCUAUGGCAUACAAAUGAUCUAAGUAACCAGAAAUAUUGGAAUAUUUAGCAAUUGCAUCGUUGUGUGACGUAUAAUGAUCUAAUAGUUUGUAACUAGAAACAUUGGAACUUGCCGUUACAAGAAUUAUUUAUUAUGCAAACAAAUUAUGUGAACAUUGACCAAACUAACUUGAUCACAACCAUAAUAUAUAAAACCUAAACAGGACCUACCAAGUAUCAUCAAGAAACUAUCCUUCAUUUCUGAAUGAAGCAGGCUUGCAGUUGCUGAGAAAGGCAAGCUAGAGAUGAUAUCAGUGUUGCUGUUGGAGAGUUUCAUCUGACCUAUCUUGCCGCCCUUGGAGUGGAGCAAGAGAAGCUCCCAUAGGAACCUUUACAGCAGGAGAUUUUUUGAGCUCCUAUACAAAUCUUUGUUUCUUUCUUUCCUUUUCCUUUUUUUUCAUUCACAACUGUCUGUUGUACUUUUUUCAAUCUCUUAAUCGAAUGAUUUAGCAGUUGCUUUGCCCAUAAAGGAAUGUUAUGCUAUAUGUUGAUCCUUAUACAAGAUCUAAAACAAGGUUUUACCUUAUGUUCAAGUCGCAUGUUUAUGCCUUUCCACAGACUGGUAGUUGUGGCUUUCUGUCUGGGGAUUUUGACAUUUGUAUGAAUGAGUUAUUUUUGUAAUAUCAUUAACUUUCACCUAGUCUCACAUAUUACUGAAAAGUUUAUCUUCUUGUAUUUGUGCCUAUUUAUCAAUAUUAUAUUUUGUUGCAUAUAUAUCUAUACUAUAUUUUGUUGCUUCUUAUGCUUGGUAACAUCCAAAUGUCAUACCUCUUUGUUGUCUAGGUUGAUCUUGUUGUACCAUUUCUUGCAAUGCAUUUCUCACCGAAAAUAUUCAGUGCUCUACUUAGAGCACAGGAUGUGUUGUCAGAACAAAAAUCUCAAGUAUUUACAGAGGGCAUUUCGUAUGUAAAUGAUAUCAGUGUACACAAUUGGCCUUCCCUCCAAUUUUCUGUGUCUGCCAUGUUGGACAAUUGGAAAUUCAAUGUCGACCUUGAAGAUGAUGCAGAAAACAGUGCAAUUAUUUCCUUUACUUUCGAGAACCUAUUCUCUAGGUUGGUCAUUUAAUAUUUGUGUAUUUCUAUUUUUUUUUGUCCAAUCUACAGAAUUUCCUUCUCAAUUGCAGGUGUGCUCUGGAGGACUCUAUGAAGUUUUGGUUCCUCACAAAGAUGUUGACAAUAGAUUACUGUUGUUUCAAGGAUGGCCCAAAUUGUAGUACAUUAUGCUCAACAAGAAAUGAAAUAGGUGGCACAAUCAACACGAGUGCUGACCAUGUUGAUCUCAGCAUAUCAGAACUGCCUUCCUGUGAAAGUCCGAGGCAUGGUUGCUUCGAGUUGCAUUACCAAGCUCAAGCAUCUCAGCAGGAAUGCAGUCUCUGCUUAUGCGAUGUCGAUCUCCAUAUCUAUCCUAGAAUUUUUGGUUUGUUGCAGAAGUUUUUCAGCAAACUUAAAGCGCAAUUUUCUUCAUCUGACACUUCUGUCAAGUCCUUCAGAUUGAUUGAUAGUAACAUGGAAAUGAUUGACAAUGGGACUUCUAAGUUUGGUUUCUCCAACUAUCACAAUAUUGAGCAUAAUAUAUUUGGCAAAAUUGAUAUAGACCGAUUUGUUCCCGUUAUGAAAUCAGGUUGCUUAAACAGUCUUGAAGGCUCUAUGAUCUUUGAUGCUCCAGAAUUAAACAAUCUGUGUGCUAAGAAAAAUGAAUGUCCUAAAGGUGUGAAUUUAAAUUUCAGGCAAGGGCAAACAGUGAAGGAUUCUGUUAUGACUUCACCCACAUCUAGCAGAAUGGCUGAACCAUUCAUGAAUUCUGAUAAUAAUUGUUUUAGUAUGAAAUUCUCUCUGAAUAGGGUUAGAGUAUAUUUUCAUGAUUCUUCUUGCAUUUUGGCAACACUUACAGUGCCUACAUCUAUAUCUUGCUUCAGAUUUUGUCAAAAUGAUUGUUGGGAUUUAGUAUCAUCUAUUGAGGGGUUAAUGCUUUCAUCAUCAUGGUCUUGUCCCAACAUCCAUGAGCUUCUAUGGGGACCAUCAUCACCAAGCAAUCUCUCUGUAGUGAAUCUUAGUCUAAGGAAAGGGAAAAUAAAGAUGAUGCUUCCCAUCACAGAAAUAAAUAUCAGCAUUCAGCAUGUUUGUUGCAUCAUUUCAUCUGAGUUUCUAGCAUUGUUGAUAGGUUAUUUUUCUUUGCCUGAUUGGAUACUUGAUGGAAAUGAACAUUUGAGCCAUGAAAUUCUUGAGUUUGAGAAUUCUCGGAAUGAACAAAAUGAUUUGUUAUACAAGUUUGAACUGGUUGACUCCACUGUGCUUUUACCUCUUGAGAACCGUGAGUAUUGUAUACAGGUUGGAUUUCCCCAACUAGUUUGUAGCUUCAUCCCAAUGAGUAGUUCAGCAGAUUCUUUUACGGAGAUUCCUUUUGAGUGCAUGAUAUCAGGAUGUAUGGAUUCUGAGAAAGUUGACAUUGUUAAUGUGUUUGGAAGAAGUGCAUCACUGUCUCUUUUGUUUAUCAGGAAUGACAAAAACUUCCUGUUGAAGCUUGAUGAAUGUAUGUCUAACACAAGUGUCCCUCUCAUUACACAACUGGAUGCUGAUUUAUGGAUCCGAAUACCUUCUACCACAACAGAUGUUUCCCCACAAUCUGUUGUGCCUUUAUUGAUUAUGAUGAGUGUCAGUGUUUGUAACUUAAUUGCUCGGGGUAUGUCUAUGCUUUAGAUGCUUCAUAUAUAGACCAUUGUUUACCAUAAUUAAUUCUCUUAUGUAUUUGCUUGUUCCUAUGUUGUUCAGAUGACCACCUUAUACAUGGACUUGAAGCUGUUAUUGAUGCUGUUGAUCAGUUUUCACUGGUUCUCAAAAGAUCUGAAAUGUACAAGUCUGAUAUCAUGCAGUUUUUGCAAUGCAAGAGAAACAUCAAGGAGGAAGAUGUUGUUUCACUUAACAUCUCAAGCCAAUUUUUUGUUAGUGUAAGAUGUUGCAUAAAGACUCUAUCACUAACAUUCUGUCGCUUCAGGGCAGAAGAUUCUUCAUCUGAGAUGGUUGCAAAUGCAGAAAUGCAAGUUAAUCUAUCUGCCAUAAUGAGAAAUGAGGUGCUACAAUCUCUUGAUGUGAAUAUUCCAUGUGUAGUUGUACGCUCUUCUAGUAGAAAUAUUCUGUUAAUAUCUUUCACACCUGAAGGUGCUAGUUCUUCCCAUCUUUGUUUCAAUUUCUCCAGUUGCAGUGCUGAAUCUGAACUUCUGGUCACUGUAGCUUCUCUUGAUCUUUGGUUACACUUGUCAGACUGGAACAAUAUUUUUGAACUUCUUCAGUUCUACAUAACACACUUGGUCAGUACUCCAAUUUCUUCCAGUGCAGAUCCGCAGUCCGGGUGUCAUUUUGUCUUAGAUCCUGCCACGCCCACUUGUUUUGCAUCUGAAUAUGUUGUGCAGGAAAAUAUUAGUUGGAAACUUAAAUCAGAGAAUAUAACAAUUUCAUUACAUAUACCUAGCUCAAGUGAUGGAGAGCUGAUAGAUUCUGAAAUGAUUGAAAUAGCUAACAAAAAUUCUCAGGAACAUACCUGCAAUAAUUUAGUGGAAAAUAUGCCACCCUUCAAGGUAAAGAAUUGCAAUUUUGUGAAGAUCACUGUCCAUAGUAAAAGUUGUGAGAUGAUCAUAUGUGAAGGUUGUGUGGAACUGAAAUGUAAUUUGGAAAAGAUGAGGGUUACACUAGAGAUGGUUCAAAAUUAUGAUAUCACUUCCAUUCCAUUUAUGCAUGUAUCUCAGGUGAAGGCAGGAGCUAGUCUAUGCAGAAAGCAAGGGGAGUUGGUUUAUAUAUCUUCUGAGAUUAUUAUCGAAUCUUUAGACAUUGGAGUUUCGUAUCAAGUUUUAUAUUUCUGGAGUUGCUAUAAGUUAAGGGUUCCUGAAACAGCAUCAUCCCCAAUAUUUCGCCAUUGUUUGGCUUUUAAAGUCCAUUUCAAGAAGGGCUCUCUUCUUUUGAGUGAUGGAAGGGUAUGCCAUUGAACUUCGGCUUUCUAUCUUAUUUGUUGCUUGGCCAUGUUUGUUUAAGUUUCUGAAUUCUGAUGUGACUGAAGAUAUGUAUAAUGUGUACCUUAAAUAUUUCUGAUAUGGUUUACAAUAACAAGAGACAACUUCUGGAUAUGACUGCAUAGCUUGAUGACUGCUAUGAACACUUAUCUUGGCCAUAAAUGCUGUCAUAAGUUGGAAUGUUUUGUGUUGUCUUUUUUCAUUUGGGAGUGAAUAUCUUGUUUGCCGAUAAAUUCUCUUUUAAAAAAUUUCAUCUUCUUUUGUUCUUCACUAUAUUCUUAGCUUUCAAAAAUUAAUGUAUAAGCAUGCAUGAAUUCAUGACAACAAUUUUUCUAGCCGCAAGCAUGUUUUCUGUAAUAAUCAUGUAGGCCACCACUUUUUUUCUUAUUUGAAACUUGUUUCUAAUGGUUGCCAUCUAUAGGGUGAGUUGGUUUCAGCACUGAUGUUGAGAAAGUAUUUUAGUAUGCUGCUGCAUAGUCAAGUAAAUUCAUUGCGUUUUUUUUUUUCAAAUUUAACAGAAAAACGUUACAUGUUUAUAUGGUCUUUCUUUAUCUGGAGGCUGAUGUAAGUUUUACCCAAAGAAUAUGGUUUCUUUCCUACAGAAAUAAUAAAUGAUGUGGCUUUCAUUUCAAUGAUGCAGGAAGUAGGAACUUGUUAAAAUCCUUUCAUUUUCUGAGCUUUUGAAUAAUGUUUAUUGAGUCUGUUUAAUUCAGUUAGAAUCGGAUAGAGGUUUAUUUAAUAUUUUAUUUAUUAUUAAGAGUCCAAGUCCUGGUAGACUCUAGGUAGAACUCUAUAAAUAGUGAUAUAAUCGUUUCUUUUCGGCAGACAAUGAAAUAUUAUUAAGUCUUUUGACUAACCCUAGGAGGUCGAUCCCCUCGAAGUGAUCAUCCCAUUUUCUCCCCUUUCUUCCAUGAUAAAACCCUAGGGUCUUAUCAGAACUUCCCACUCUUACAAUGAAUUCUUUCAUAACAGCCAAUCACCUAAAAAUAUUUGGUUUUAGGUGGACAUAUCAAUUUCCAGUCAUGUUUUUUAAUUUGUCACCAUUUAGGAAAUGUUAAGAAGCUUUGCAUAUUAUCUCAAUUGGUUCGUCAUAUAUAAUGGUAUUUUCUAGGUGAAAUGGCAAAUUUAGAAUCACAGAGAAUUGAAAAGAUGAAAUAGGCCAAGGUUUAUAAAGAAAGGAUGUCAUGUUGAAGAUCCUUGCCAACAAUCGUAUUAGACUUUUCCAACAAAGUUGCAUAAGGCUUAUUUUAUCCAGAUGUUUUUUCAAGAUCGAAUUGAAGUAGAGUUUCCAGUUCUUAAAGAAUAGGCAAUAUGAAAAAGGUCCUAGUAUGCCAGAUAAGGGUGUUCAACUUCCAAGUUAGCCAGAUAUUCUUUUUGCAGUAUACGGAACGAAAGAUUGUCAUCAGCAAAUUGUAAGAAAGGAACACCAGAAUAAUUGGGGAAGGUUCACAAUUCUCUUAUUAAGCCGGUCUCCUUAUCAAAAGUGGGAAACCUGAGUGCAGACCUCAAGAACAAAAAGAAGAGAGGAUAGUAUCUCCUUUUACCCAAGGUUGCUUUUAGGGCAAACUGUUUUCUGAUUAUUAGGAUACAAUGUUACAUUGAGGAUUUUAAGCAAGUUAAAAGCUCAAUCUCAAUCAUCUAAUUCAGUUAGGUCCAAAACCUUUAGUUUUGAUGAGAUACUGAAAUACCAACCUUUUAUAUUAAAAUUUUCUUAGAGUGUAGCAUCAUCACUAGGCUUUUGAAGUCAUACCUGGCACAAAAGUAAACAAUUUCAUGGGCCAUAAUGAAAUAAUCAGCUAGGCAUCUUCCUCUAUCAAAUGUCACUGCAAUAGACGAAAAAUAUCAGAGAGAAUUUUGAAAAGUUCAGAAUCACCGUCCUGGUAAAAACUUCAAAAGAUCAAUUUUCAGAAUUUUUGUCUUGAAUUUUAGCUCACUUGACCCCUUGAACUCUUGGAAUGAUAGAAUUCAAUGCAUAAUUAAGAGUUUAAGACUACUUUGUUCUUAGGAUUAGUAUUCGAAUUGCACAUUCUAUGUUAGCCUGACAAUGAAAUGUUACGUUUUAUCAACAUGGUAUUACGGCAUGGCCGCAUUCUGAUACAAUUUUGCCAUGAGGGCAAAAAAGGUAAAUGAUUCUGAUACAACAUUCUGAUACAACUUUGCUGUGAAGAAAGACUAGGAAAAUAAAUAUAUAACGUGUCAAGACCAAGUUCUAUGGGAUUUCUCUCCUUGUGUGUACAGGCUCCUAUUACAUGCAAAUGCGCAAACAAGUCUCAAACUAAACCUCUUUUCUUCUGUCCAGUAGUAAAACCUCAGCCUGAAUAACUAACUUAUUCUAAUAAAAUAUAGCAAGUGCUAACCUAUUUCAUGUGAUUAUACUCUGUCAAUUGGUUCAAUUUUUUGGACUUACUCAACCUUUUAUCUUAUAUAAAAAGGGAAUAUAAGCUAUUUAAUCUAUCCCUGUUUUUUUUAAUAUAGACCUAUGUAAAUGACAUGACCAUUUUUGCUUGCAUAUUCUCCUUUAGUCCUUUGAUGUCUUUUGAUGUACCUAAUUAUCAGCACUUGUGGUAUUUACUGGGAUCAACUGGUGGUAAGACCAAUGGCAAGGUUUUUAGUCUUGGAAUUGGUGCUUGUACUAGUCCCUUGGCAGAUUAUAUGGUACACAAUAUGCUGGUGUAUUAUAGUACCAUCUGGUACUGAUCAAAUAAAAUAAGAAAUAAGAAAACCAAAAGGGUGGAAAAUCUGGCAAUAAAUUAGGAAAAUUAGAGAAAGAAUUCCUGUAGCCUCGGCCUAUUUACCUAAGUAGCACCUAUCACUGAGCUGUAUCGUCUACCUUCACUGUCUCUUCCUCUCCUCACUUCUCCAUUUGUCUGUGAUCCUACCACAAUUUUGAGGUCCCUAAGUCCUGAGUUUUGACUUCUUUAAGCAUACAAGGGGUUCAUGAACCAGUUCAACUCUACUCAUUUAGCGCUAAAAUGGGACUAGUCUCCUGUAUGUCAGCCUGGUUCGAAUUAGUCAAUGUCCUAUUCCAUACUUGGACCAAUGCAAACCCAUGCAAACCAAGCUCCCAUGCAAACCAAGCUGGAUGCCAUGAGUUUCAAUUUUUGGACUGAGACCUGUAUUGGUCCUUGACAGGAUUGGUAUGGUCUGGUACAUAACAGCAUACUGGCACAUGGUCAGUGUACUGAUCAACAUGAACCAAAGAGAAAGAGGCAGAGAAGAGGGGGUGGAGGAGGAGGAGGAGAAUGAAGAGGAGGAAGGAGAGGAAAGCUGCUGUUGACAGGCUGAGCGGUUUAAGAAAGAAGAAAACUUAAAAAGGCCAGUUUCAAACUGGUCCAGGCGAAAUUGGCUGAGUUCUAGUUCCUGGUUGGACUGAUAAAUACGUGUUAAUUUGUGCCGGUCUGGCCAGUUUUUUGAACCUUCCGUUUACCUAUGGGUACCUCGCAGGUGUAUGGUCUAUUGAAGCAUUGUUGAUUGUGAGUAUCUGGUUGAUUGCCAAUCGCAUGUUUCCAAUGUGUGAACUGUGAACUAUUCCUUAUAUGUAACUUAAUUGGCCUUUAAUGAAGCAGGCAAUCCGGCACAGCACAUAUCAUUGGACUCUUGAACUUCUCAUGGUUGCUGGGAGGCUCGUAUGAACGAGAAUUUAGAUCCUAGUUCUCUCUCCUGCCAUUCAUAUCUAUUAUAUUAAAGUAUGAUGAUUUAAAUUGUAAUGGCUACAUUAGGAACUAUUAACACACAAGUUCUUCUCGCACGCACCUUGUCUAACACCCACAAACUUAACAAAUGUUAAGUGACAAUUCUUGCAUCAUUUUGGCAAUCAUUGAUGGGAUGGUGCUGGGAAAGGGAUGUGACCAUAUCAAUGGGCUUAUAUGCGUUUGGGAUGGGAAUUGACCAUAUCACAUGGGUAGGUGUUCAACUAUGUGAUUGAUCAAGUAGGUGCCAAAAGUAUGUUUCCACAUUAGAUUGUUUGCAUAUAUCAUACUAUGGAGUUGGUUGAUCAUUUUGACAUUAGUUCUAUGGUCAUUACUUUGUUGUUGUAAAAGCCUUGUCCAGUUCUUGCAGUAGAAAUCAAUUAAUAAUUAUGAACUUAAAUCUUGUUAGAACUAUGUUUGAUACGGCUUCAGUUUCUCAUAUAAGUUCAUGUAUCUUUGACGUAGUGGAGCUAUCAUGGACCUAUUCUGGAGACCUUAAUGAAGAACAUGCUUAUACAGUUCAAUCGAACAGAAGAUGUCACAGAGGGUUCAGCUGUUGCUGAUCUGUUGAUUAACUACAAUAACAUUGAUAAGGUAUAUUAAAGAGACUUGUUUUACCAUCUUAUGUUGUCUUCAUAAUAUUUUGGUAUACUUUAUGAGUAAAUUCUUUGUAGGUUAUGUGGGAACCUUUUCUAGAGCCAUGGAGUUUUGAGUUGAAUAUGACAAGAAAAUAUGAAGGGUAUAUCUUGAAUGGAUAUGCAGUUACUGAUGUAUAUUUGAAGUCGACAAAGCUACUUAAUUUUAAUAUUACAGAACCACUGGUUGAGGUACAAAUUUACUGUUCUAGUAAUUUAUCUUUUUGUUUCUACAUCAUUACUACAUGAGGCACCUAGGAUGUGCGAGGGAGUUAGCUAUUUGGCAAUAUUUUUAAAUUUUAGUGCAAUUCUUGCUGAAUUUGAGUUUUUGCAUGUAUUUUUUAUUUAUGUUCAGAACAAUGCAAAAUCUUCCUCAUUGCUUUGUGUCUUAGAGUGGAAGUUGUUCAUCAGUCGUGUCUUUCAUUACCUUCUGGCUGGAUACUUUGGCUAGGGAAUCACAGUUCAACUUCGUGUGCUGCAACAUUCAUAUUAUUGUUUCUUUUUUCCUCCUAAUCUUGAAGUUCUGUGCAGGCUAUCUUCAGGCUAAAUCAUGUGGUUAAUGAUGCUACUAAUCUUGCUGAUGCAUAUGGUUUCCAAGAAACUCAUGGAAUCUUGGGAUUACAGACUACUGAAGACAUACGUAAAAGAAGAUAUGCCCCAUACAUUCUCCAUAAUGACACAUCUUUGCCUCUGGCAUAUCAUGUGUACCAUGGCCCAGUUGACAUGGAUAAUAUCCACAGCUUUCCUACAGAUGAUGGAAAUAUUGUUCAACCAGGUUUUUCUGUUCCCAUUUAUGUCGAGGAAAAUCUUAAUGAACAAUAUUUUGAACGCAGAGCUUCAUAUUCUUCUGAAAGGCUUAUAGAGAAAAAGAUGAGUGCGAUAGCACAUCAUAUGAUGUCUAUCCACUUUGAAGGAACUUCUGGGCCUUCAAGACCUAUGUCAAUGGACCUUGUGGGCUGUAGUUAUUUUGAGGUAAAUUUUUCUAAAAGUAAGCAUUCUAUUCUUGUUGAAGCAGAAAAAGAUGGCAAGAUAUUAGGAUGUAGUUGGCAGACUGAGGAGCAGUGCAAAAACGAACAUUGCAAGGGAUUAGUUGUUCCUGUCGUAUUUGAGGUUUCUAUGCAGCAUUACAGCAAGAUUAUAAGACUAUACUCAACGGUAGUAACUGCAAUUUGUUUGAUAUUAUUUUAUUGUUUCAUGCAAGAAAUAAAUUUGCUUUCUGCUCCAGGUUAUAGUUUUCAAUGCAACUUCAGUGCCCUUGGAGCUACGUUUUGACAUUCCAUUUGGUGUGUCUUCUAAGGUAAUGAUUUCUUUAUGAGUUAUCAAGUCACUAGCAAAAUAUAUUGAUUAAUUGGGUCUGCUGCUCACAGUACAUCAAUGCUAUUGUUUUCAGGGUAAUUUGCAUGAUUUUGGUUAAUUUCUAAUUUUUUUUUUCUUGAAAUCACUUAAUUCCAUUCAGAAAUUUUGCAUUAUAGCUAUGUACUGGUCCAAUUUAAAAUUUUCAUCUUUUAAUUCUGAUGUUCCUGCUUUCAUUCUCAUUGGAAGUCAGUUUAGUAGGAAUUUGCUCCAACUUCAAACUAUACUUGUAAAUGGAAAAGUCUGGAUAUUUUUUCUAACUUUUCUCUGUUUUAGGUCUUAGGACCAAUACUUCCAGGGCAAGAGAUUCCAUUGCCACUGCACUUGGCUGAGUCUGGCCAAAUUAGGUGGCAUCCAGGUGGCACACAUUACUUGUGGAGUGAAGCACAUUCACUAUCAAAUAUACUAUCUCAAGAAAAUAGGCUUGGAUAUUUGAGAUCAUUCGUGUGCUAUCCCUCUCAUCCUAGUAGUGAUCCAUUCCGUUGUUGUAUAUCUAUUCAAGAUCAUGGUCUGUGUUCAGCAGGUGCUGCAGAAAAACAUUCAUCAAUUAAUAUUCAUGAGACUGAACAACUUAUCUUCAAAAGUAACAAGUCAAAGUUUCCAAAGAAACAUGUUAUACGCCAUGUGAGGCUGAGUACUCCUUUGUUGGUGAAAAAUUAUCUUCCUACAUGUUUAUCCUUCAUUGUAGAAACCGGUGGAGUCACACAUUCUGUUUCUCUUUCAGAGGUUUGGUUAUAAGCCGCUUUAAUUAAUUUUAUCUGGAUACUGUGCUGUUUUCUAUAGUUUUGAACAUAUUACUUUUAUUUUCUAUAAUUAUAUUCUUACAGUACUUUAGUUUCAGGUCGGUACUGCUUCUGUUUAUCAUGUUGAUUCUGCACAUGACCUAGUACUAACUUUUGAAAUGAAAGGAUUCAGGCAAGUGACAUCAAAGUUUCCUCGAGCAGAAUCAUUCUCUUCUAUGGGCAGGUUAAAUGGUUCCUUCUACUUUUCAUCUGAAAAAUUGGCGUUCUAUCCUGAAAACUCAAGUGGUAGUAUAUUGUUUAAAAUGUUUGCCUUAAUACUGUUGAUAGAUCACAUAUGUUUUAUAUAUAGGCUGACCUAAUUUUUAAUUAUGUUAGGUUCUGUAUGUGUCACACUUGAUAAAACAAUGGAUGCAUCUUGUGGGGCAAGAGAGAUAUGCCUGUCAGUUCCCUUUUUGCUUUACAAUUGUACCAGUCUGUUUCUCACCAUCUUAGAUGUCAACCAUGAGGGAAAGGGAAAUGCUGUUGUUAUUCCUUCAAGUUAUUAUGAGAUUGAGCAUAAACAGCUUCUUGAUGGAAAGGAUGGUCUUGCCCUUAUAUCUUCCGAGUCAAUAUCAUCUUCUGAUCCCUUUCUUUUAGAUAAUAAUUUGGAGGCCAGAAAACAGGACAAUGUGUCUACAAAAAUGGAUUGCGAUCAAUCUUCAGUGUCUUAUGAAGUUUCUCAUUAUAGUGAAAUAGGUCAUAAAGUUGGAAGCAGUCCAUCUUAUUUGCCAAGGAAAGCUGGAAAGGAUGCUGGCUAUAUGCAUGAUGGAGGCAGCAGAAAAGCUAAGCCAUAUAUCUAUGGUCCUACUGUCCGUAUUCCAGCUAAUGAACUUCUGGUUAAGCUGAGCGCUGCAUUGUCAAAAUCCAGAUCUAGCACCAGUCACAACCAAACGUGGUCAAAACCAUUUUCUCUUGUUCCAGAAAGUGGGUCAACAAAUAUCAUUGUCCCUCAGCCAUUUGCUUCUGGUGCAUUUUUAAUAUCUGCUGCAUCAGUCCCUGUUGCUGGAGAGCUGUCCGGGAGGACAAGGGCUAUUACUUUUCAGCCUAGGUAAUUUGCAAAGUAAAAUAGGACAUAAUAUAGGGUGCACAGUAAAAUGCUAUCCAAAUUUUACCUCUUUGUUUUAUGUCAUUUAUAUUUUAAGUUUAAUGUUGCUUCCAUAUUCUUAUUCUGGUUGCUAUCUAUAAAACAUUUGCUGUAGCAAGAUGGAAGAAGGCAAUGAGCCUUAGUUUCAUUAAAUGAAUGACAUAAAUUUAACAAAGGAUCAUCAGAUGGGAAUCAAAAGCAGCUAACUGGUUCUUAUUCUGCAUGUGCUUUGGAUUGGUAACUUCUUCACACAGACAUUAAAUCCAUUAUAAGCAGCAACCAUGUUGCAAGCGCUUACUAGUGGAGUUGAAAAGACAAAAAAAGGUUUGCUUUUUCUCUAUACUAGAUUUGUAUGUUUAGGAACAUAGUUAAUUCAUAUUUCUGUGAAUAGGUACUUUUUGAUGAUCAUGAAAAUGUAAACAAUCUCCUGCUAUCCUCUAAUAUAUUUUAUUGUGAUUAAAGGCCUUCUGUAGGUGAUAGACCAUUCCUUUCUUUACAAUUGUUAAAUUUUAUAUGUUUUUCCUUGUUAAGUACUUUUAAUCAACAUGCAAGUACUGGUAAAUUACCAUACAGCUUUUUACCAAUAUAUUGGUUAAGAAAAUGUGAAAGUGCAUUUCUCAACCUCAAUUUUCAAUUAUUUCAGUAAUAAUGUGUAGUUGGUAUACUGCUCGAUAGAUCAUAUCAGUUAUCAUAAGUCAAAAUCAGUACUGGACUGGUAUAUAAAACCUUGUUUCUGAUAGCUUAAUGCACCCUGGUUAAUCUCUCUUUUUUUUUCCUUGCAGAUAUGUCAUUUGUAAUGCGUGCACUAAAGACUUGUUUUACAGACAAAAGGGAACUAACAUUUCUUACCAUUUGGGUAUUGGGCAACAUUCUCAUCUUCACUGGUCCGAUACAUCAAGGUUUCUGCUAUUGUAUUACAAUAUAACUUACUGUCUUUAGUGUAAUCACCCCAUUUACUGGUAUCCCAGUCUCUUAUGCUCUGAUUUGCAUGUAGAAUACUUCUCGAAAGUGAAAUAUAGUUAGUUUGGUAGUGUAUAUUCACAAUCUAAGCAUCAAUUUAAUGUCAUUUUCAGUUGAUUCAUAGACAUUGUAUAUUUUCAGUGUUAUUUUAGAUUAAUAAAUUUUUCAAUGCAAAUACUCAAUCAAGAUGUUGUUAAAAGGUAAUAUUAGUAAUCAGAGUUUGUGAAAUACCUCUUAAAUGGACAUUCGUUCCACUUCUUAGCCAUACUAGGAGUUAUAUAUUAUUUGGUAAAUUAAUAGGAAUUUAAGUCAUGGUAUGGGGGGAAAAAGUGUCUGAUGUACUGCUCCAUUGACUUGUAGAAUCCAAGAUGGCAUAAAAUUGUUUCAUAAGCAUGUUGAUUCCAGCAUGUUAUAUUCAUUAUAGAUGCAAAACUUGUCUAUUGAUGCAGCAUAAACUUCUGGAUCCUUACCACCUCAAGUUCCUAUAUGUUAAUUGGAAGUAUGUUUAGUGAUGUUCUGUUGACCUCCACUCUCCAAUGACUAUUUGAUAUUAAUUCUUUAUAGACAAGUAACUGUAGGUCUCACCACUUGACAGAAGUUAAAAUUAUUGUUGGAAGUUGCAGCUCAUAUUAUAUUUACACUUGUCAUGUUGGCACUUAUAUUAGGUAAAGAUUACUGUUAAACUUUUAAAAUCGAAGGCAAUUUUGUCGAGAAAGCAUAAAAAGAUUAUUGUCUUUGACCAAUGUCAAAGAUCCUGCAUGCUAUGGCCUCUAACAUCUAUAUAUAGCUAUAAUUCUUAUAACUGUUGUGUGCUCCUGCGGACUGAAUUUAGUUUGUUAGCUCUUUUUUUGGCAUUUUAGAUAUGGCUAUUUAAACUGCUCAUGGUUUUAUAGUCUCAUUCCAAGAUCUUAAUGUGGUUCGAGUUCUUCAACAAAAAAUAAUAAUAAUAACUUUUUUGUUAAAGUAUUUGUUAAAAUGUUGCUUUCACUUUCUUUCUUUCAGCACCUCAUGUAAAAUAUCUUGUUGAAUACUAAUUCAUGAGCAUUAAGCUGCUGCAGAGAACUACUCAUUGCCCUUCGAUUUGGUGAACCUGGUUCUCAGUGGUCAGGCAGCUUCCUUCCAGAUUGCCUUGGGGAUGCUCAAGUGAAAAUGAGAAAUUAUAUAACUGGUGUAUCGAACAUGGUUCGAGUUGAAGUACAAAAUGCUGAUGUGUCAAUAAGCAAAGAAAAUGUGAUCAAAAACCCCAGUGGACAUUCUAUGACACAUCUAAUUCUUCUAUCCGAUGACAAAACUGGGUUUAUGCCAUAUAGGAUAGACAAUUUCUCGAUGGAGGUAAUUGCUUCCUGAAGCAAGUUUAUUAUGAUUUUACUGGCCUCAUGGUACAAACGAUGUGUUAUUUUUAUUCUUGCUAACAUUUCUACUCAAACCAUUUUCCAUUCUUAUAAUUUGUUCAACUAAGCUUGUUCAUAUUUGCUAUUCCUUAAGGUUAAAGUUAUCUUUGUGAUAAGUGUAAGAUUAAAAGGACAAAAUAAAUGAUUUUGUGUGUUAUAAAGAGAUUUAUGUAGUUAUUGUGCAUCGAGCUAGUAUAGCAUGUGAUUUUGAUGUAAUGUAAAGAUGAGGAAGAUAUUGUUUGUGGAAUUAAAACAAGAUGGUUAAAAUGAUGACUGUCAAGAAUAUUGCUUGAUUAUGGUAAAUGUCAAUAUUUCAAAUACUGGUUGGAGUUCACAGAUGGAGACCUGAUUGAAACCAUGAAUUAAUAUUUAUAUGUUCUUAAUCAAGGAAUGCAUUUUCAUAUCAGACCUGUACCAGUACAUGGUCGGACCAGUAUAUACUGUCAGUAUUGGUGUAGCAACACUUGGUACACUGUUAUGUACCGGUUUGUGAGAAAAGGCUGAAAAAUUAGAAGAGGAGGCAGCAGAGCAGGGAAGGAGGAGAAGAGGGCCUAGAAGAAGAGGAGAGGCAGUGAUGCAGAAGGAUAGGAGGGAAGGAGGAGGAGAGGCGGCUGCACAGAAGGAGAGGAGUGAAGUAGGUGAUGGAAAAAAAUGAGGGGAGAAGGCUGCAACAGAGGAGGAAAGGAGGCUGUGGAGGAGCAGAAGAAUACCAAGUACCAACGCUAGGGCUGGUGGCAGCGGCACACAUAGGCAGUGAUGGAAAGCGAGAAACGAGGGAUGCAGGUGAUGGCUGACACAGACAUGGGGGAAGGGGAGAAUGCAGGAGAGGAUAACUCAGGGUUUUACUUUCUAUUUUCAAAAUUUAUUAAAAAACGGGUUGGGCUACUGCCUGGCCCAGGCCCAUUACCGGGUGUGAACCCGAUAGUAAGCCUGGUUCACAAGGCUUACCAAGUGGUAAGCCUGUAUUGCACCUGAACCGCCUGAAAUUGGGCUGGUCCUCAUGCAGGUCAGCAAUCAGACUGCUAAAUACUUGUCAUACCAUACCGAACCAGGCGGAAUUGCAUUCCUUGCUCUUAAUAAUUAAUAUGACUAAGUAUAUUGCCCUAAUGGCAGCAAAAGAUCCAACCAAUCGAUCCCAAAUAGUUGGGAUAUUACAGCUUGUUGUAGAGUGAAAAUCUCUGUGGCUGGACUUUAUGGAGAGAAUUCAUAUUGCUGACAUUCUUGUAAUUUGGGUUAUGCAGAAAUAUGUUCAGAGUCCGACUGCUGUGUCUCUCUUUAUCAUCCCCGCCUGUUUUUUUAUUCCUUUUAUGCCCAUUGUUUUCAUAAUAAACUGCAUUGGAUAGGCUUCAUCUAUUCUUUGCUCUACAAAGAAAGUACCAAUAUCAGAUAGUAAAAAUGUGACCAGGAUAGAAAAUUGAUCUUGUACCAUUAGGACUUCUAAUUUAUACUGCUGUAUUCCAUAUAUUUUGAAGCUUGGUAGAUUAGCCUUUUUGCAGAGACUCCUUUUUCAUCAAAUUCAAGUGCUGCCAUCAAUGAUUAGAAAACUUUUUGUCAACCAUUGCUUGUCCUAUACAAUUGAAAUAAUUCCCUAACAUAGGAACAUCUCUUUUAUAGAAGUAAAUUUUAGCUUCAUAUCAUAUUUCUCCCUCUGCAAGCUUCCUUAUAUAAAAAAAACUUGAUUGAAGUGUAUUAGUUAAUGUUGCUUUUGUUAUUCAGACAUUGCGGAUUUACCAACAUAAAUGUGAAUCAUGUGACACCACAGUACAUCGUUACACAUCUUACCAGUAUGCAUGGGAUGAACCUUGUUACCUUCAUCGUCUCAUUGUAGAGGUAUGAGCAAUGUCUUCUCCUUUUGGGCCUUGAGCUUCCAGUUUCAUCGUUAUAUAUGUCAAUGUGUUUUUUGUUAGGUUCCUGGUGAGCGAAUUUUAGGAGCAUACAGUCUAGAUGAUAUAAAGGAGCAUGCACCUGUGUACUUGCCUUCAACAACUGAGGUACAUGAAUAUCAUUUUUUGUUGAGAAUCAGAAUUAUUAUCCAUCUCAUCAGUUAUGCAAUUGAUAGCUCUCAUGUAUAAAUAACUGUAUUGCUGUUGUUAUGAUGUUCCUUUUCUUGGAUUGUAGGAAGUUGUGAUGUAAGUUGUUGGAAGAAACAUCCAAGUCAUCAUCUCUUUUGGCAUAAAUUUCCUUUGUAAUCAUUGUGAUUUUCUUCUUUCUUAGCUAAGAAAAACUUAGUCAUAUGGUCUGUUGGUUAUAUUCUUUGCAGAAACCUGAAAGAAGGCUCUAUAUCUCGGUACAUUCUGAAGGAGCAGUCAAGGUAUCUCUUGUUCUUCCAAGUUCUAUAGUCUGAUAUAGAAUUUUUAUAAGGUGCAUUACUGAAUCGCUGAAUAUUCUUCAUUCUCAUGCUACAGGUGCUCAGUAUCGUCGACUCAAAUUAUCAUAUUGUAAAUGAAAAAGAGGGGAACAAUUUCCUUGGAUCCAGGGAUAAAAAGGUUGUUGAUCAGAAGAUGGACUGUCAUGCUGGUUUCACUGAAGUGUUCACAUUACAUGUUCCGUUUCUUGGGAUUUCCUUGAUGAAUCCCACUCCUCAGGUAAAUGAAGUAUUUCUAUUCUUAACCAUGAUACUGUAUCGAUAGUUUCGAGUAUCUUGUCAUCAAGAGCUUAUUGUUUAUUUGAAGGAAUUGGUUUUCGCAUGUGCAAAGGACACAACAGUUGUUUUGAUGCAAAGUAUGGAUCGUCAAAAGAUAUCAUUCAGAACCUUAUCCCUUCAAAUUGAUAAUCAGCUGCCUGAUACUCCGUAUCCCAUAGUGCUCUCAUUUGACCAAGGACACAGAGGCCGAUCCACAAACAUCUUGAAAAGUGGGGAGAAUAAGUUAAAUUUUCAGAAAGAGACGAAUUUUGAAAAUACAAUUGAACCUGUCUUUUACCUUGCUGCAUCCAAGUGGAGGAAUAUGGACAAAUCAUUGGUGUCGUUUGAAUAUAUAGACUUAGGGUACUUUUCAGUUCUUAAUUUUACAUUUUUUUAAUAUGUGCAUUGAGGAUCUCAUGUAUUUAUGCUAUCUCUUUGUAGUUUGGCCCCUAUGUGUAUUGAGCUUGAAGAACAAAUACUAUUGAGCUUGUUCGAGUAUUUUAGAGCAGUAUCAUCAAGACUAGAGAACAUAAGCGUAGGAAAAAAUUUUGGAUUGUGUAACCGGAACUGCAGUUCAGAUGGGAACCUGGAUAAUGCUCAGGAUUAUAAUGGGAAAAAUGUGUUAACAGAGAGUGAAUUUAUUGGAACCGAAGAAAGGUGUGGAUUAUUGCCUUCUGUAUUUCCAGUUGGAGCCCCAUGGCAACAGAUUUAUCUUUUGGCAAGAAGGAAGAAGAAAAUAUAUGUUGAAGCUUUUGAACUGGCUCCUAUAACAUUAUCCUUAAGGUGAAUAUGUGAAGUUGCUAUUUACUGUUUUUCUAAGAUUUUUUUUAUACUAGAUAAUGAUGAAUAACAUGAGAAAAAUGCUAUAUCUUUUAACACAUUCAAUUUUUUCAAGGAAGAAUCUUCUUGUUAUCUUUAACUAAAAGUUCAUUGUUCUAAUGAUUAGCUUCUCAAGCACUCCUUGGAUGAUAAGGAAUGAAGUCCAUGCAGAUAUCGAAUCUUUAGUUCACAUCCCUAGUAACACACUUCAGGUAGCUAUGCUAUCUUUGUUAUGAGAAUUGAGUACUCCUGUAGACAUUUUCUGUAAGACAGAUUUGACAACUUUAUGGUUUAACGUUUUUAUUGGUAAAUCUAGAUGUGUAUUACUAGAUAGUCUAGAGCAUAAUAUGUAAAUAAUCACCUAGAUAUAUAGAUGUUACCUCAUUCUUAGAGGGAUUGGUAAAUUUAUAAGUAUGGUUACAAUAAAAAACAAAUAUAUGAUCCGGUCCCUAUUUUAUUUUCUUAUUUCUUCAUGUAUGCUUUCUCUCUGAUAUCCAAGCAUCAAUUUGUGAAUGAGAAAAGUUUGUUUUUCAUGUAGCUUUGUGUUUACUGACUGCAACUUGAUAACCGUUUUAAGCAAGGUUUGAUUUACCAGUCCGAGCCGGUGUGCCGGCUGUGCCGUGUCGCUCUGUACUGGUGUACCGACACAUGGUAUGUCGGUGCGUACCAAAGUUUCGACAAGGACGAAUAAGAGGUUGAAGAGGAAGGUCCGGUGGAGGAACAAAUGAGGAAAAAGGAGAAAGGAAGAAGAAGAAGAAAGAAAAGGAGAAGUGUAGCGAUACCUGGGAAGCAGCGGCAGCAGCAAAGGGAAGCAGUAGCAUCACAGCGGCAAAGAGGUGGUGCUGCUGCAGCAUCGCAACGACAAAGCGGCGAAGAGGCGGCGCCGCUGCAAGAUCGUAGCGGCGAAGUGACGAAGAGGCAGCGCGGCUUCCGCAUUACAGUGGCAAAUCAGUGAAGAGGUAGCGUUGCUGCAGCGCCGAAGAGGCAGUGCCGCUGCUUCGUACGCGAGAAGAGCCCUAUUAUGCUUCUUUUUUUUUAACGCUGAAAUGGACUGGUGCCCACCACUUUUUUAUUUUUUUAAUUAUUUGAAUGCAGACUGCCUGAAACAGGGUGGUCCGCGUAUCAGUCCACACCUGGACCGGUAUAUACCGCCCAAACCGUACCAUUUUGGGCGGUACAGCAAUCCCUGGUUUUAAGUAUAUUUGUGCUUUUGACCGUUGAAGAUUUCCUUUUGUUUAUAUGCUUGUCCUUAAAAGUGGUGAUUAUUCAAUAGAUUUUUUUUCUCUUCUGACAACAUAGUUCAGCACUGAUAGUUUGUUAAAAGGUGACUCCAGUAAAUAAAAAGAGUACUGUUAAUUGAACCUUAGAAGUAUUCAUACUGAGUUUGUUAUCAAGGGGAAAUUUUUGUACUGAGGAUAGUAACAUUAUGCAAUGUUUUGCUUAGAUGAAAACUUGAAACAUGAAGUGUUGAAUAUGCUUGAACAUAUACAAAAUGGAGACAAUAUUUUCUUAGUUGCUAGCACACUGGCCAUGUCUGACUUUCAAAGACUUCCAAUGAGUACCUAAGUCAUGUUUGUACCAUGCUGGCAGAUUGUUCAGAGUUCGACAUGAAGGUUCAAAUUAUACGCCUCCUUGCUUCAUCCUUAUUUCUUUGAAGUGUAAAUAGGCAUAUAUCUUUUUAAUAUAUGACAAGGGUCCUAAACAAAUGUUGUGUGCUAACUAACAUGAUUGUUCCUAGUAUUUAAGAAUCUACAAUCAGAUCAAUCUUUGUGUUUCAGGUUAAUCAGAGAAGCUAGGUAAUUCAUAUAAUUGGAAAUCUAGGAAGUGCAAAAAAGUUCAUCAUUCUCUAAACAACCAGCUAAACUAAGCUAUAAGAGUUUAACGAGAUAUGUAAGAUUAGGGCAGUAGGCUGCAUGAGGUUCCCUCUGCUGCAAAGUAUGGGGAUGAUCAAAUGUGCACAACCUCUCUCCAUCACAUUGAGAGGCAAUUUUUGCAAUUCAAACCCAUAAUGGCAGGUCAAAUAAAGAGAUGCCACUUAUGUGCCAGGGCUUUUGAACUGAUUACCGUGGAGAUCAAAACUGUCAACUUAAGAAAUUUUUGUAUGCAGAUUUUAUUUGUUCUCCAAUUCACUUGUUAGUUGGAUAAGAUGCUGUUGAAGUGGUUAACGGGAUAUAUCUAGUAUCAGUGAAAUUAUCAUUCUUGCAUCUGUGAUUCUCUAAGCAAGACAGAAGAUUUAUGAAUCCUGCAAAAUCCUGAUUUGUUCAGGCUUUGACCAGUAAAUAUGAUUCUACCUGUCUUAUUGCUUGAAAAUAUUCGGACAAUUGUUGCUUUGUUUUCCAGAUACUUGAAUUCGUGUAUACCUGUGGUGCCUGUUUAUAUUCCUUUGUAUUUUUUCAUAGAUAACUUUCAGUACCUUAUAUUCAUUUGGUUGCAGAGAGGUUUGAUGGCUCUUGUAGAUGUUGAAGGAGUGCCUGUUCAUUUUACACGACUUACACUAGCACAUCUUAUAGCUAGCCCAGAAUCAAUCCAAGAGAUUAUAACUAGACAUUACAUGAGACAGCUACUUCAUGAAAUGUAUAAGGUGAGUUAUGUAUAAUCUUUUACAGUUUCAGUUUACUUUCAUUUUCCAGUCCUGCUGGAGUGAAUUAUAAGGGGUUGAAUGUCUUGUCUAGUAAACUGGUACAAAUCUUGCAGCCUGAUAGCUCCGGACUUAUUUUCUUUUGAAUCCUGAACAUUUUUGCAAUAUACUUUUGUAUCAGAGGUUUCAGUCUGUUUAUCCUUCAUAGUAAUUAUAUACUAGGAAUUAAAAUAACUGAUAUAUCCACUAUAUAUCAUUAUGUCUCUUGUUGACUGAUUGUCAGAACGGGUAAAGUUGGGUUGUUAUGCUAAAAAUAAUAUAGGGAAUAUCAGACUUAUCUUUUUUGUUUUCUUUUUUUUUGGUAUGAUCAUUAGCUUCAUAGCUUAUCUUUCAUCAAAGAAAAUAGGCAACCUGGCAAAGCUAUCUUCCAUCCACCUAGAUAGCUCAGCAUGCACUAAAAAGGUGACCCAUUUCUUAUAUUUUUGCCAAACAGUGUCUAACUUCUUCAAGAUUUAAAUCGGCAUAAUCAAUGUUAGAUCAGUAUCUGUUGAUUGUAACCAUCGUUCGGAUUGUUAUUAAUAUUAGUUGAACUAUGGAAUAAGUUAUGUUAAUCCUUAGGGUGUACAAUAACACAUUUUGGAAUAAACUUUGGAAUUUAUUGUGAACCUAACAUGCUAGUUGAGUUUUGGGAAGUUGUCUUUGCAGUUUAAGGUCUUGUAGUUGACUUAUCAAAGAGGAUAAUUAUAUCCAAAUAUGUUAUUUUUCAAUUGAUUAUUGAAGAAUGGUAUUAUCAUUUUCAAAAUUCACACCUUAACUAAAACCUUUUAAUUUUGUGGUCUUUCCUCAACUACAGGUGCUUGGUUCUGCUGGUGUUAUUGGAAAUCCAAUGGGUUUUGCAAGGAAUGUUGGGCUUGGUAUCAAGGAUUUUUUAUCUUUUUCUGGCAAGGGAGUCUUACAGGUGAGCAACAUUCACAGUGUUCAAGCUUGUUAGAUGGAUGAUUCAUCUCUGUUUCUGAAAAUAUAAUUGACAAUUGUGGCAGAGCCCCAGUGGAUUAUUAACCAGUGUAGCUGAAGGUUCAAGAGGUCUUCUAAGUAGUACAGUAUAUGCCAUAAGUAGCGCUACUAGUCAGUUCAGUAAAGCUGCUCAUAAGGUAAUUUCUGUUACAUGAAUUAAUCAUUUAUACUAUAUCAUCAGGUUGUUUCAGAUUUUGACAUUUGGUUUUUCAGGGAAUAGUUGCAUUUACAUUUGAUCAACAGGCUGCUGCUUAUCUGGAGGAACAGCAGAAUCACCUAGAUUCACAUGGCAAAGGUGUACUGAAUGAAUUCUUGGAGGUAUAAGUUCAUACAAUUACUUCUAACCAAAAGCGCACAAAAGGAUUCCAACUCAGUAUCUUAGGUUACUUGUCUAACAUUUGAGCAGUACCUAUAGACAUGAUAAUUGGUAAAGUAUCUAAUACUAAUCUGUGACCCUACAAAUCUGAAUUCAAUCCUGCUUGUUAAUGAAAUGCUAUUUUUUCUAUGGAUGAACUUCUCUUUUACAUAAAAGGUUUCUUAAAAAGUAAACCAAUUUCUUACCUAAGUGAUGCAUAGUAUGCAUACUCUGUUGCUCUUCAAAGUGAUCUUUUGCGAUAAGGAAAAAUGUGUAGGAAUAUUAUUGUAUUUAUUGCACUAGGAUGAUGAAAUAAAGAUUAGUACUCUCCCCUUGAGGAGAAAGAAAAUUGAAAUGAUGAGAAAACGAAGAAAAGCGAGACAAAAUUACCUCUUUUCUUACUGGUAGAUUUAUCCUUGAAGACUUUAUCAAAGUGAUCUUUUGCGAUAAGGAAAAAUGUGUAGGAAUAUUAUUGUAUUUAUUACACUAGGAUGAUGAAAUAAAGAUUAAAACUCUCCCCUUGGGGAGAAAGAAAAUUGAAACAAUGAGAAAAAGAAGAAACAAGAGACAAAAUUCCCUCUUUUCUUAUUGGUAGAUUUAUCCUUAAAGACUUUAUCAAUAUAAAAGAACUCUGUAUGGUGUUAAUUAAACAACAGUGUAAUGUUUAUUUCGUAUCAGCACAUUUGUUUCUAAUAAGAAGGAUGAUAAAAUGAAACUUAUUUCAACCAAUGUUUGUCUAUUUUCAUACAGGGGCUCACGGGACUUCUUCAAUUCCCAAUUAGAGGUGCUGAAAAGCAUGGCCUACCUGGGGUUGUGUCAGGUAACUUGAUCUUCAAAUAUUGAGUGUGUUUGUGUGGCUUUGUAAGCUCAUUUUUCAUUUACCAUCAUACAGGAAUUGCAUUGGGAACCGCCGGUCUUAUUGCAAGACCAGUGGCUAGCAUCCUUGAAGCCACUGGGAAAACAGCACAAAGUAUCAGAAACAGGAGUCGACCACACCAAUCCUGUCACUUCCGUACACGGUUAUCAAGGCCUUUAGCCAAAGAACUUCCUUUGUCACCAUACUCUUGGGAUGAAGCUAUUGGAGUGUCAUUGCUUCUUCAAGCAGAUAGCUCGAGACUGAAGGAUGAGAUAUUUGUGAUGUGCAAACCACUCACGCAGGCAGGGAGGUUUAUAACUAUCAGCAAGAGGCUGGUUUUGGUUGCAUCGUGCUCUUGCCUUCUGGGUUUGGGCUCACCGGAGUUUGUUGGUGUCCCUCCUGAUCCAGAUUGGGUUAUAGAAACUGAAAUGACUCUGGAGAGUGUCGUUCAUAUUGAUAGGACAGAAGAGACUGUGAAUAUUGUUGGAAGCUGUGCUGAAUCGAUAUACAAGCAGAAAAAGAGUAGUUCUAGGAAUAGACCAUGGAAUUCUUCGACUUCUGCACCUGUUUUUCACUUGAGUGUUGAACUUGCAAACAAGGAAGAAGCAGAAGAUACUUUACAGGUUCUGUUAUCGACAAUUGAAGAAGGGAAAUCCCAGAGGUGGGGGAUGCGCAUUCUACAACGGAACAAUCUCAAGUAAAAGCAUGUACGUUAUUUAAUGAUCUAGCGUCGCAAGAACCACUUCAAUAUACCUAUGUUACCAUAUGGACUGAUUACCUAUUCUCUAACUCUUGCAGGAGUCAUUGGAUCUGAGGGUUUGGGAGAUCCUGGUGGAGCCUAUCUUGGGAGUGUAUAUAUGCACAAAGAGUAAUUUGAGAGAACAUGGUAGUUUCUUUUAUACAGAUUAGACAAUCCAGCGGCCUUAUCUAUUGUACAUUGUGUAAAUCAUCACGGCAUUUUGUGCCCCCUUUUGCGGGUUUGGACUAAAAGGUAAAUAAGAUAAUUUGAAAUGGAAAGCUAAUAUGAUACCUUUGUUUUUCCAUGCCAUAUUUGCAUACUAGGAAAUUUCUAGGAAUUUGUUUUUUGUCAGAAUUAGGUAAGGUGCAGUGUCCAAAAUGAAUAAAUGCCAAUUGUUUUGACUGUGAAUAACUUUAUUCAGGGACAAAUAUAUACCAAUUAUUACACAGCUAAUGCUUCACAUUAGGAUGGUGAAUGGUACUUUGAUCUGAUGGCCACCUAUUUUAAGAUCAAACUUUCUGUUGAUACUGGUUUUUGUAAUUGUGGCAUUUAGUUUAUGUUGAUGCAAGUAGAGGACCAAAUGUUUCAGACAGUGACUUCUAAAUUUGUUUCAGAUACUUGUUGGUAUGUCAGAUGAUUGUCUGUUGACACUCCCCCAGAAAGAACCUGUGUUAUUGUUCGAAUAAAAUUUUAGGAUAAUUCAUUUGGCUAUUCAAUCCAACAUCAUGGCUCGAUGGAGCAACAAUGAUAUUUUAUUAGAUAUGCCAUCACAUCUCCUUGAAGUUAUCCCAACUAAUUUUGGAUUUUCAAAGUUCUUCUCCAUUGACUAGUGGAACUUCUCUUCUGGAAGCAUUUGACUUUAGACCCAUCUAGAUAAUUUAUUAUAUUGCACUUUAGCCUACUAGCAUGUGAUUCAAGAAAGCCAGCUCAUAGAUAAAUCUCAUUGAAAUUUCCAACAAAUCAACUAAAGUGAGAAGAGAAAAGUCUGGAGCUACUAAAUUCCCCUUUUGUCUACAUGUGGAUCAAAAGUCUCGGAUGCAAUGGCCACAAUCUUGGACUUGGUGUAUGGGUAGAUGUUGAAUGAUGAUUAUUAAUAUGUGAAAUCAUCAUUUAGUAUUCGCUUCAAUAUUUUAUUAUCUUGGAUGAGGUUGGCUUGUUCUAAUUUCUGGAUUCCAAUUAAACAUCUACCUACUUGAUGCAAAUUCUGCAAUUCAUUUGAUUGAUCGAACAUAAAGCAUUAAUGAUGAUGCAACUGGAAAGUUACGUAGAGCAACGGUAAGAUUGUUCCUUUACGAUACGCAAGAUGACUACCACUAGGUUUAUUCUCUUGGUAUUUCGUCGUCGAAUCGUAUUACUGCUAUGGUGGAUGUAACACCAGAUUUGUCGUCUUUGCUUCAGUCCAAAGUCCUGAAUGAUGUUGAGAAGCCAAUAAAAUUAUUGGAGUCAUGAAAGUGGCCGUAUGAAUGCAAACUGAUGAGAGCUUAUUCUGGUGGACUGUUGCAUUGGUCAAGUGGCUGAUGCAAAUGCUGUAUCAGCUGAGAAGACGACCAAUUCACUCAUCACCUCAGGCUGAGGCUUUUUCCAAUCCCAUGAGGUGUUGGCUGAUUUCUUCUGACUGCUAUUCUAACUUGUUAUCACAGGUUCAAUGUUCAUGUAGAAGCCCCAAAUCGCCCGGCACUUCUCCCUCACCGACCGCACCAUCUCUCUCUCUCUCUCUCUCUCUCUCUCUAUAUAUAUAUAUAUAUAUAUAUACGUAGCCUUCCCUUUCCCUGCACUCAGCCAUCUGCUUGCAGAGCUUUCCUUCCCUUCAUUAAGGUACUACGACUCACCACAACAUGGUCGCCGGCUGCUGCACCAACGAGGUGACGGUCAACGUCAGCGUCCACAGGAUGUGGAAGGCGGCCGCCUGCGAGGAUCACAUCCUGCUGCCAAAGAUCAUUCCUCAGUACUUCGCUGGCGCAGAGCUCGUCGGCGAUGGCGAAGCUGGCAGCACAAAGACCUUCCACUUCACUCCAGGUUUAGAUUUUGAUGCUGCUUUCCGACAUUCGUGUGCGUGCGAGAAGAGAUCGCAAAACAAGGAUAAAAAAUAAUCUCACAUCGAUAAAAAGAAUCGGAUGAUACAUAUCGAAACCUUUUUGGUUGAAUUGAUGUAUGAUCUGUUAAUUGGAACUAAUUUGGCUAUUGUUGCGAUCCAUCGAACUGCAGCCGCAGAGCCACUGACCUUCGUGAAGGACCAUGUUGAGGUGUUGGACCACGGAAGCCACACGAUGAGGUACAAGGCGAUCGAAGGAGGUCACCUCGGCCGCACGCUCAAGUCGCACGCGUUCGAGGUCAAGUUCGAAGCGGCGGGCGCCGACAGCUGUGUCGUGAAGACCAAGACAGAAUACGAUACGAUCGACGACGCGCCGCUGCCGGAGGACGAGGUGCAGAAGAUGACGGACGUGCCAGUACGGAUGAUGAAGUCGGUGGAAGCCUAUCUGAUAGCCAACCCCGGUGUUUGUGCCUGAGCCCCUGAGCCUCUGAGCCGGUGGGCUUUCGUGUACCGACGUUGGUGCUUCCAGUGUCGUAGUGCUUGUCAUUGGGCGUGGAUCAAUCAAUAAUGAGGUGAUGCAGCAGUGCUGGAAUCAUCACCUUUAGAGUGAGAGAGUGAGAGAGUGAGAGAGAGAUAGGACAUGACAUGUUGAUGCCAUCUCUCUCUUUGUCUGUUCUUUCCAUCUUCUGCAAUGUGGUGUUUUGUGUGGUCGUUGAAGGACAUAUAUCUACAAAUAAGAUGUGAUUUCUUUGGUAUCAUGUAAUCCUUCUUUUUUGGUAUCAUUCUUAGUAGUCUCUUUUAAAGAUUCAAAGACUAGCGUAAUCCAAAUUAAACAUGGAUUUAAUUGAUUUUACUUAAACUAUAUGAUACGUUUAUAAUGUUUGUUCGUAACGAGUCAACCUUCUCGUAAUUUUAUUUACUCUCAUCCAUAAAUAAAUCAGUUACCGAUAAAUGAAUGCAUGAACAAACAAAUCGAUGUCACCUUAGUAAAAUAUACCUUGGGAUUAUAUAACUAAAAUUGAACAAAAUACCUUCUUAGACGACUAAAAUGGAUGCAUUUUGCUGAAAGAUUUUACGAUAAAAAAUUGAAGGUUAAUUCGUCGUCCAUAAAGUUUAAGUACAUAAGUGAUAGGUUCAUCCAUCGUCCAUAAAGUUUAAGUACAUAAGUGAUAAAACUUCAUCCAAUCUUAUGUUUGUUCAAAAUUUAUAUAAUUAAAUUUGAACAAAAUAUCUUACUAAAAUGGAUGCAUUUUGCUUGCUCUGAAAAAAUUUUACGAUAAAAAAUUGAAGGCUAAUCCAUCGUCAAUAAAAUUUAAGUACAUAAGUGAUAACGUAUCUUAGAACUUUCAUCCAAUCUUGUGUCGGUUCAAAAUUAAAUGUUAACAUGACAUGAGAUUUGACGUAAUAGUGAUGUGACCUUAUCUACAAACUCGAUAGAAACAAAUUAAUUCUUCUAUUUUUUAAGAUAAAUACUGGUAAUACGGCAACAUCAAAAAUAUUAUAUCGUACAAUUUGGUUCUUCCUCUUAGUUUCAAACAUGAAGCUCCACAAAGACGGCAAUAAAAUAAAAUUAACGAAGAAAAAUGCAACACGACAUCAACUCAUCGUGAUCUCACUCACCCUAACAAAGAAUAUAAUAAUAAACUACACCGUUGAAUGAACUGUUAAUUCUUUCAUUAAAUGCAUGAAAUACAUUUAUGGUGAAACUUUGUUUCUAACAUACAUACAUACAUACAUACAUACAUACAUACAUAUUUUAAUCUGACUAGCAUAUGCUUGAAGAAUCCGAUCAUUCUCGACUACGGCUGAUGAUGAUAUGGGGCUGCUCAACAAUGAAGACCGCAAAGUCUGCAUGCUUGUGAGCUUUGAAGUCUUCGCUUCAGUCAACAAAUACUAGCUAGUUUGAAUGCUUCCAAGUUUACCAUGACACCCACUUCUUAGAACAUUGAAUUGGGAUGAGGAUGCCAACAAGAGAAGAUGAACCGAUUCAUUGGCAUGGAGCGAUCUUCGCGUCAUCUCAGACCCCCCCCUUUUUCCAAUCUAAUCGAUGAGGUUACCUAAAGUUCAAACUUCAUCUGGAAGCCCGAGAUGACCCGGCACUCCAUCGCCGUCUAUAAAUGGACUCUUCCCCUUCCCUUCACCACCAACCCAUCACAGCCUGCAGAGCUCUCAUCCGGCAAAACACCUUCAUCGACGCCAUGGUUGCCGGGUGCUGCACCGAAGAGCUGACGCUCAAUGUCAGCGUCCACAGAGUAUGGAAGGCGGCCGCCUGCGAGGAUCACAUCCUGCUGCCAAAGAUCAUGCCGCAGUACUUCUCCGGCGCCGAGCUCAUCGGGGAUGGUGAAGCUGGCAGCACCAAGAUCUUCCACUUCGAUCCAGGUUUGGAUUCACAUCACCAAUGCUUCUUUCAGGUAACAGGAAGAUCCGUAAACUAUGCUGAUUUCAACUGGCAAUUCUGUGGAUGAGACUGCAGGUAUGAAGCCACUGAUCUUCGUGAAGAACCAUGUCGAAGUGCUGGAUCAUGGGAGCCACACCUUGAAGUACAAGACCGUCGAGGGAGGCCACCUCGGCCACACGCUCAAGUCGCACACCAUCGAGCACAAGUACGACGCCUUGAGCGCCGACACCUGCUCUCUGAAGAUCAAGGUGGAGUAUGAUACCAUCGACGACAAGGGGCUCCCCGAGGAGGAGGUGAACAAGAUCAAGGAGGGGUCGGUAUGGGUCGCCAAGGCUGUGGAAGGUUACCUGACCACCAACCCCGCUGCUUAUGCCUAAGCCUCUGGAAACUAUCCGUAUUGUCUGUCAUGUGUGGCUUAAUAAUGGUGGCGAUGCAGCAAUACUACUCAUCGUCACCACGAGAGAGAGAGAGAGAGAGUGUGUCUGUGUGUGAGACAACGUGACAUUGUUGCUCUGUUUCUCUCUCUCUCUCUCCCAAUCUUUGUGCGUGUGAAGUGUAACGUACGUACGAGGCCAAUAAUAAGUUGUGCUUUCCUUGGUAUUAUCAUUUUAAUUAAUAUAUGUGUGAGAUAUUAUCUCCUCGAGAAGACUGCUGAACCCAUCAUUUGUAUUUAAUUAUUCGAAAAUUCUAAAUUAUAUAUGUAUUUAUCUUUUGGUAUUAUUUGUCUCCAAACUAAUUACUAAUUAUCAUAUAUUUCGAAUUAAAUGAAUCGGAUAAUUGAUUUGGAGCCCCGUCGAUACCGUCUGAUCUCGAUCGGACGUCGCACCGAGCACGCCGGAAUGACAAAACUACCCCUCCCAAAGCUUUGCUUCCGGGGUAUUUUCGUCAUAUCAACAUCUCAUGUCGCUAGGGUUUCCGCCGCCACGGUGGCCGUGCAAGCGCCGGCCUCGGUUCUGCCGCCUCACAAGAUCAGCUAUCCGGUCUCCCGCAGCGAACCUCGAAACUGGACCGUCCGGUGCGGCUCUUAGUGGUUCGCGGGUCCCACUGUCACUCCUUUGUUGACGCAUAAUAUAGAGCCACGUCGUUGGUUUGAGUCUUCCCUGCUUGCUGCGGCGCGGCGGUUUCCCAGCUGGCCCUCGGGUUCCUGCCCCGGGUAAUGCGGUAAAGUGCGCCCGCACGGGGAAUUAAAAUAAGCCGGUGUCGACCAGAAAAGUUGGCUUACAUGAACUAGUUGAAAGCUACCAUUAAAGUAAGUCUUCCAUGUUUGCCUCUUUCCCUCCACUCCCUCCUCUGUUCCUGAGAGUUCCACACCUCUCGCUAUUCCCACGCAUGUAUAUUAGCACAGUGUGGCUCUGAAGUUGCCUCAUCUGUGUCUUUCUGAAAGGGAUCAGAGGAGGAGAUGACGAUAGGCGAGAGGAAGGGAAACGGCGGUGCUCUUCCUCGUUAGCUUCGGAUCUCUGGUGGCUGCCGCUUCUGAUUGAUAAGAAGGUGGAUCGGCCCCUGGAUUUACCUGCAGUGGAGCAGCUUAAGUGUGAGAGAGUAUGGAAUUCCGGCCUGGUUUGACGGAUCCGAGUCACGGAGUAAGAGAAAUGGUAAGCCUGCUCAUGCUUCGUUUCUUGUACUGCUGAGUAGAGUUUGCUGCUGCUGAUUCAUGUGCUGAUUCGCAUUGGCUUCUUGUUUCUGGCUUCGAUUCGAUCUGCAGUCUUCGGGAUCUUCAGAUCCGAGCAGUAGCACCAGCAGUGGUGAUUCCCAGAUUAAGCGCUGCGCAGAUUGUCGAACCACCACGACCCCUCUCUGGCGAGCCGGUCCUUGUGGUCCCAAGGUAUGCGGGUGCGACUGCCGGUCUGAUCGAUGCUUUCUUUUGGGCAUGUUUUCUUUCUUGAUCUGAUUGGUGGACUCGUGAUCUGCGGCUGCAGUCGCUCUGCAACGCGUGCGGGAUCCGGUACCGGAAGAGCAGACGAGCGGUGCCGGUGUCGAAGGAAGCAGGGACGGGAAUGAGGAAGACGAAGAGAGAGAUUGACGGCGGCAGUGGCGGGGAGAGGUUUGAGGUGUCCUUUAAGCUUCGGAUGUUGGGGCCGGGAUUGUGCAAGCCGAGAUCCAUGGUUCAGAAGCAGAGGAGGAGAAGCAUGCUUGGGGAAGUGGAGGAGGCCGCAGUCCUCUUGAUGGCCCUCUCGUCCGGCUUCCUACAUGCCUAGGUUUAAGUCGAACAAGACAAAACGACCUCCUUUUUUGGUGGAUGCAAUGUAGUGUUGUUGGCUCUAAUUAUCACUCUUGUGCUACUACUGUAUGAUGCUGCCAAGCGGUAUAGUGAAGCAUGUGGUUACCAUCUUAGUUAUAGUAAAACCUGGACUCCAAAACAGCGAUGAUAUCACCAAUUACUUUUGUGGUCGAGUUGGUGAAGCUUUGCUGCGUUGGAGCUCCUCGAAUAAUAAUAGUUUGUAGGUUCUAUCUAAAUAGUUUGCCGACUGAGAAGCUAAAACGUUUGUGCAUUUGGGGACCUUUGUGGUGAUUGGUUUGAGACAGCAUUAGCUUUUGGUAAUGGUUGUUGCUCGGUGAAGAAGCAUUAGUUUGAUUGUUGAAGGCUCAUAAUGAUUGGAAAUGUGUAAAGCUGCCAAUGCUGCUUGCGGAAUGAACCUUUUUGAGGCAACCGUGGGUUUGAGCUUGUGAAAGGUGCCAAAAGUUGGGAGGAUGUGUUGUUGUCUUGGACGAUUCCCUUCUUUUGGUUGGUCGGUGAUCAGCUGGUACUUGGGUUCUCUCGGUUAUAUCAGGUAAGAGUGUGCUCAAUCAUAUAUAUUUCUAUUCGAAAAUAGUUUAAUGGAUUGCUUAUUUCCACAAUAUCUAACCAAAUGCGAGAAUGAUUGAUGUUGAUUGCUAUUUGAAAGAAGUCAAUAGCUUGCUUAUUUCCACACUAUCUUAUUGAUUGAUAUUUCCAUAGCAAGAUGAUUGACCCUUUUUCUUUUUCUCUCUGUUUCAUUUAUUAUAAUUCUUCGACUGCAACAAUCACAACUGUUUCUUUCAUUCUUUAAUGUAUCAGUGCUUUAGGAUUCGUGUCUCUGUUAGAUCUGUUCCGAAAGAAAGACAAGUUUAAUCUAAUAAAUAAAAAAAAAGAAAAGGUCAGUCUGAUCAACGGUCGUGGAGAAGCGGAUGAAGGGCUGCAGUUUAACCCGUUACUCCAUCCGGAUCCGACCACCCUUCGAGUGAUGGCAGCCUUCCGUUCCAUCUCCGUCGUUUCCUACACGGCCGUUGGAAGAGCUCAUCGGGUUGCUUCUCCUUCCGCCGCAGGAUCUCCGGCCAUUUCGAGUUCACGGCAGCAAGCAAGCGAUCUGUAGUUCGCGCCGCUUUCGGGAGCGGAACUGGGAUUGCUGUUUUAGUCCCACAUCGCAAGGGGAGCGGGAGGGGAAAGUGGGGGGCUUGUAUAUGAGGGAGUGGGGAUCAACCGAUGAUCCAUACUUACCUGGACGGGGUCUAUGGGCGAUCAUGAAGGCUCAUGGCCUAGAUCAGUGACCUCCAUUGCACCGGGGAGGGGUGCUGGUCUACCAUCUCCCCAAGCGGGAGAGUGGACGUCAUAAUUUGUGGUAGAGGGGGAACGCGUUCGCGCGGCCCCCGCCAAUACUAUUCAAGUGUUCCGAUGCAACUCCAUAGAGUUUUCUGAGACUCUUAAUAAAAGCUGCAAUAUCUGCACUGUAUCACUCGUCGGCGAACUAUCCUUCGCAGAACAGACGUGUUUGCUGGGAUCAAUGCAGCCUUUGGUGCUCUUGGAAAUCAGAUCCCUCCCCUGUUGUGCCCUUGAAUGGGUUAGUGGUAAGAGAGAGCUCUUCCACCGGCCGUGUGGGAGACGACGGAGAUGGAAGGGGGAGGUUGCCGUCACUCGAAGUGUGGUCGGAUUCGGAUGGAGUAACGGGUUAAAACGCAGCCUUUCAUCCGCUUCUCCACGAUCGUUGAUAAGACCAACUUUUCCUUUCGGAACCAAUCUAAAGCAGACACGAAUCCUAAAGCACUGAUACUAAGAGUUGAACCCCUUUGUCGCUUUCCAUACCACCCCCAAACUCUCCGUCACCGUCCCGCUCCCCACUCACCGUCUCCGCCCGCGGCCUCUCCCGGAAUCGGAUCGCGCUGCCCCAUCUUCGGCCUCCGCCUCUUCUUCCGUCCAAGGUGAAACGCUCUCCUUCUCCCGUCAUCGGUUUGCUUGCCUUGCCCACGUCCCUCUAUUCGGAUGCUGUUGCGCUGCGGUUUCUGCGUCAUCAUGGGUUACGAAGCCGAGAUCUUGUAGCCGUUUGGCAUGUUGUUUGGAAUUAGACGUAGAAUAAUGAUCUGUUUGCCUCGAUUUCAUCAUCGAUCAACCGUCUGCUUGAUUUCUGCUUUCAGCACCAAAUCCAGCCAAUCAAAGCUUUUCAUCUUUAAUAUUUCAAGAUUUUGAUGCACAAAUGGCAAGGGAUUGUUAGGCAUUUUCAAUGGCUGGAAUUUUUGGUUCCUUCGUUGUACUGAAACUAUGGGCUAUUAGAGAUGAAUAUUGUUGUUUCUUUUGGAGAAAGAAACUAACUUUAGAGAUCAAUCAUCAUUUUUAGGCUUUAUUGAAUUCAGAAACUUUACGAGAAUUGCCAUCAGAUCACGCGCUUGGUUUCAAGACAUUUUACGUUAGUGUUCCAUCUAGGGGUUUGAAUCCAUCAUGCAUAUAUUGAUUGCUGUGUUUGCUCCAAAACCUUGAUUAGUAUAUUUGAAGAGUGGAAAGGUCACCUGGCAUUCAGGUACUUGACCCACACUAUCCACCACUAUUCUUGAUUACGAUGUAUCAAUUGCAAUAUAAUUUUCAUAGCAGUUCUUUUUCCUCUAAACAUUUCAGGAUAUCUUGUUAAAUAAGGUUGAAUUUCUUUUAACCAAAACUGGACUUUUGAAAAGUAUAAUUUAAUGCCCUUGAACCUUAUGAUUUCCUUUGAAUCUUGAAGGUGUCGAGAUUUAUUUUUGAGAUUUGUCAUCGUUCAGAAUAAAUCUGCUGCAUUUUGUGAAUACAUUCAUAACCUCAUAUCUACUAUGCAUGUGUUGUAGGCAUUUCCAUUUUGCAACAUGAUAACUAGUAUGAAUUCAAAUGGAAAAGUAGUAACUAACAAAAGAAAGGUUCUUGAUAACUUAAUACUUCUCUUAAGGACUAACCGUAGCAAAUAGUUGUCUUAAGGUGUUUCUUGAUUGUGGUUCUUUUCUUUCUCGAACACUCGUGACCAUGGCAUGACUUAUUGUUCCUUCGCCCAUCCUUUGUUGGCAUUAUAUAUAUCGCUCUUUAGAGAGAAAUGUGGUCAACACAUGUAAGCAAAACUCUGUCUAAAUCAUUUGUUUUCUUUUGAUCGUAAAGAAUGAAAAAGAGAAAGUCAUGGUCAUUCAUAUCCCAAAGCAUACAGAUUCAUUUGAUUUUCUUUCGACUUUCUGUCUCUUUUUCUCGGUCUGCGGCAGGCAGUCACAACAGUCACCAGCAUCCUCUUCUUCGUUAGAAUUGCCAAGAGGGGCCACCAUAAUCGAAUGGCUAUCAUCGCCAACCAUCUUCAUUAUUAAAAGUCUGAUAUCUUGGGCAUUAAGUUUGUUGCAAUUGGAAGAAGACGUAUACGAUGAGUAUGACAUUACAUUUUUUGCCUUCCAUGAAUGAUCAAUCACUGGAGUAAAUAAAUUGGUUACUGCCACUGAAAUCUCACCCCCUGUUAUCUUGAUAAUUGUGUAGAAAAUUGAGGUUCCCGCAUGAACAAUGUGAGAGUAGAUGUACCAUGGCAAACGCCGAAUGAUUCCAGCUUUAUGUAUGUGCACCUGAUGUAACCUGUGAUGCAUUUUCAGGAACAAUGGCCAGCAAAUCUAGCAGUGAUAGUCGGGAGCCAGUGAAUGAGCAAAUUAUUUUAAACACAUAUGCAAACAUGCGGUCAGAAAUUAACCAGAUCUACUCAAAGAUCACUGAGCUAGAAAUGGAAGUCAGUGAGCACUCCCUUGUAAUAGGUGCCAUACAACCACUUGAUCCAUCACGCCGCUGCUACCGGACGGUUGGUGGUGUGCUGGUCGAGAGGACAAUCAAGGAAGUCGUGCCUGCUGUGCAGCGCAACAAGGAAGGUCUCGAGGAGGUCAUUGCUCGCCUCAACGAGGCACUGGAGAGUAAGAAGAAGGAGAUUUCAGAAUUUGAAUUGAAGUAUAAGAUCAAGAUAAAGAAAGCUGACAGCGAGACCAAGGAGGAUCCCAACCUAAAAGAAGGUUCUGCGCAGGGGGUUCUUGUAGGCCCUGCAAGCUAAUGGAAAGUGCUAGGAAAUCAAGUAUGGAUGUCUUUUUCAUGGCAUGAUAAAUCUGGUUUGUAUUUUCUAGACAGAAGACAUUUUCCUGUGAAGUUUCUGUUGCAUACGAGUCCUGAUG
Molecule: long non-coding RNA, 56481 nt
Filed under: Musa acuminata (dwarf banana)
Lineage: Eukaryota; Viridiplantae; Streptophyta; Magnoliopsida; Zingiberales; Musaceae
Description: long non-coding RNA (MACU_LNC004915)
Rfam family: U1 spliceosomal RNA (bases 53553-53713)
Source: RNAcentral